RNAcentral lists this long non-coding RNA (44719 nucleotides) under Prunus persica (peach). RNAcentral's name for it is "long non-coding RNA (PPER_LNC006428)". Lineage: Eukaryota; Viridiplantae; Streptophyta; Magnoliopsida; Rosales; Rosaceae. The record is from RNAcentral.
ACACGGUGUAAACUGUAGCCACCCGCGUAAGAGACACUAGUAAGAUAUCAAAUAUAUAUCUUCCCAGAAACAACCACUCCAACAAUUGUCAUCUGCUUUUCUUGAUCUAUAAAUUGCGCCUCAUCUAUCGUCUACCCAACAAACCAAACCCAGCUAAGUGUUUCACUUUGUUUUCAUUCCCUUCUGUUUCUAGCAUCUCUCUUUUAUUUUCUUCUUCUACCUCCAUAGAAUACUUUGAAGGCCCUUAGAAAUAUUAUUCAAAGAUGAGUUCAUCAACUUACUCCGGAGCAGCAUACCCUCCCCCACCUUGUUCUACACCGCCGGGUCAGGCUCCACCACCUGCUGGUUAUCCAACAAGAGAUGCCCCAAAUCCCCAUGGACAUGGAGCUGUAGAAACAAAGUCAAAAGGUGAUGGCUUCUGGAAGGGAUGCUGUGCUGCCUUGUGCUGCUGUUGCGUUUUGGAUGCAUGUUUUUGAACAUCAUCCAGGAGAUUCUUGAAUUGAGAGCCCAAUAAUCCACAUAUAUCUUUCGUUUGUGAAUUUUAUUUUAGACACAUUUAUUUCAGUUUUUCCGUUGUUAUACUUCUAUGAGGAAGGGACCAUGUCGAUUUCCUAUUUAGUGAUCCUACGUACCGAUUGUCCAAUUCUUUUUAUUGUAUAAUGAUUCUUAUAAUAAAAUUUCUUCAUUUGCAGCUAAUAUAAGGAAAUCAUCCAUGAAUUUUUCUUGAAUCAUGAUCUUUUGGCUCAACUUUAUCCUAGUUCUACUGGGAGUAACCCCAUUUUUCACCUUGAAUUGGUCAAAAUAUUUGGAAUUUUUUACUUUUUUUUGUAGAGGAUUAGAUCUAGUAACUGGAGUUCAUGGCUAGCUCACACCAUCAUUUAGUUAUUGCAAUUCUUUUUUUCUGAUAGCGGGCGGGUCACAUGUAUAGAAUCAACUGAAGCAUUGGUCAUGAUAUAAAAGAUAUUUUAUAGAGGCUUACAUUCCAAAUGUGGGACAUAUCGCUUAACCCAACAAUCUUAACUAGUAUAAUACGAAAUGAAAAACAAUGACUGAUGUUUCAUUUCCUUAAUAUGUCGGAUGAAUUCCAAUGCAAAAAAUAAAUAGAAAAUCUUUAUGACGUUAAAAAAUUAAAAUUAAACAUAACAUUAAUUAAAUUCAAUAGGAAAAAAAAUCCGACGGUCCAAAAAAUACAAUAUACACUUUUGACAUUUUACCUCUCUAGUGGGUGAAUGUAAAUUUCAGGUUGAAAAUUGGUUUUACAUCUUGGAAUAUUCCAAUCAAGAUACCACCGAAGAUGUAAAAGUCACUUACAUCCUUAUUUUUAUAUAUUUGCAUUGGAGAUGCUCUUAUAUGUGCUCUUCAGUUUGAUAGAGUAUUAAAAUCUCAUUAUAGAGAUAUGGAAAACAAUUUCUUGGACAAAUACAAUUGCAAAAAGUAUAAUAAAAGUCAUGUGUCCACGUGUGCACUAAUGUUAUUUUUGGUACAAUCUAUUUCAAUCUAAUCUAAAUUAUAAGGAGGGAGAUUUGAACUCGAGUGCAGAAUAGAGAACACAUCUUCUUUAACCAACUUGGCUAAGCCCUUACUUGCACUAGUGUUAUAUAACUAUAAAAUGUGAAUGAAAUCAUUGAUGCAAAUGUAACGGCAAAAAAAGAAACUGAAAAAUUUAAUGUAAAAAGUUUUUAUCCAGGUGUGAAACUAUAAUUUAUUUGUAAAGGACAAAUAUCAAGUGACUGCUAAGUUGUUUUGGCUUUAACCUACAAACAACUAAGGAGGUUACCAUCUUGAAGAAUACUUCUAGAAAGCGAGACGCACAAAGGUUGGCUCUUUAAAACUAAGAAGGAGCGCAUUCUCAAAACAAAUGGGAUUUUGACACUUAUCAAAAUUCAAAAUAAAAAAAAUUAAAAGAAUAUCAGAAAUAAUAAAAAUAAAAUGAAAAUGACAAGUGUCAAAAACCCAUUUAUUUUGAGAAGGACCCAAAGCUUUUUUCCAAGCCAACUAUGUUGGAUAUCCUCUCACGAGUUGGAUAUAAUAUGAUUUGCACUUUCCUACGUACCUUCCGCUGGCUAGUCCGAAAGUAAUAAGAAGAAUAACAUUUUGUAUUUUUCUUCUCCACAUACAUUUUGGAUUUGCACGCGGUGUAGUGUUGCCACCCGCGUUAAGACACUAAUUAUUGACCUUCCAGGAAAUGAACAAUCACUCCAAUUCCCAUCUGGUUUUCUUCAUGUAUAUACAUAUAAAAUGGGGCUUCAUUCAUCAAAUCAAACCAUCCAAUACAAACCAAACCCAAACUAGAAAUACUCAGCUUAUUAUUUUUCAACUAAAAUGAGUUCGUCGACUAAUUCCGCAGCAGCAUACCCUCCUCAUCCCCAACCUUACUCGAUGGCGCCUGGAUCUUAUUACGUGCAGGCUCCGCCACCUGCUGGUUAUCCCACAAGAGAUGCUCCAAAUCCUGCUUCCGCUCAUCAUGGGCCUGUAGAAACCAAGUCCAAGGGUGAUGGCUUCUGGAAGGGAUGUUGUGCUGCCUUGUGUUGUUGUUGUCUCUUGGAUGCUUGUUUUUGAACAUCAUCAUCCUAUGUGAUUUUUGAAUUCAGCCCAGUAAUCAUAUAUUACUUUAUUCGUUUGUGAAUUAUGUUUUCCUCACUUUCUGUAACUUUUGCGUUAUUAUUCGAUUAUGUAAUUCUUGUUGUUGCAUUAUUCGUAUAGUAAAAUUCUAUAAUUUGUUCAAAUAAAAGAGACAAGUUUUUGUGAGUAUUAAAUAGUUUCACGUUAUGAUAUUAACACUGUACAUUCACGAAUUCGCUUGAAAAAAAAAAAAGAAAAGAAGAAAGAAAACAUGAACUCGGAUUCUGAAGUUAUUAACUGUAUUUUAGGCUGGGUGGGGUAUGCAAUGUCAUCAGUUGAUGACGUGGGAGAACGUGUGACCAAACAUGUGGAAAAUGUAUAUUGGCCGUUCAAUCUAAUAUCCAUACAAUAAUAGAACCCUUAUGUCAUUCGAUUUGAUACUGCCACCAUAAUAGAUAAACAAUAGAAGAUUUGAGGAAGAGUUUCAGAAGGAAAAACAGAGGAAGAUGGAGUAGUUGUUUGAGUAAAACUUCUAUGGUGCAAUUCUUAGACAGUUUUGGGUAUUUCUCAGAUUCUUUGCUUAAGACAAAAGCCUAAGGCUUAUAUAUACAAGGAUAGAUAAAAUCCCAACCAUCCAUGCGGCGUAUUGAUCGACCAUACAAUAAAGUCAAAAAGUCAAACUAUUUGUAUCACAAUCUUUGAACUUCUUGUGCUGUGAAUGAUAUGCCUUGUUUAAGAACUUAUUUGUAUCACAAUCUCAAUUCUCCUAUUCACCAUAUUCUUGGACUGUUAUAUUCUGUGUUGCUUUUUAUUUAGUUCGAAAUCUUUCCUGUGAUGAAUGGUUGCUCUAAAAUUAUUUAUUAAAUACUUGAGGCAAGGGACUUAGCUCCAUCUAUUUUUAUAGGAUGAGAGCUUGUGAGAAUUCCCUGUAAAUGUCUCCUCUCAAGACCCCCGCCCCCUCUAUUCUUUUUGCUCUUGUUUUGGCACAUUGAUGAUUGAUGUGUGAUGCGAUCUUUAUGAUUUAUGCUUGAAUGCCUGUACUUUUCAGUGUUCUUCGUUUGUUAUUGCUGAUUAAUAACAACCUUCUUGUGUGAUUGGUCCAUUACAUUGUUUGUGCUAACUUUCCUUCUCAAAUUUGAUUACUUAGAGUCAGCAAUCUCUUUGACGAACGACUUUAUAGAAACAGCAAUCUCUUUGACGAACGACUUUACUAAGGUGCUAUCCAAGCACCCAGGAAGCAUAAAAGGUGAAGUUGUAGAUAAUAAAAAAUAGAUAUUUGUUGAUUAGCAAAAAACCCAACAAGAAAUGGAGGGAAAUGGUUCCAAAUUGGUGGCAAAUGGGUCUGAAGCUUUGAAGAGGUCAAAAGGAAUUGAUUUAACGAUUAUAUCCCUUAUAAAAUAGGGAUUUAACGGUUUUUUUGACGAAUGAACUAUUUAAGAGCACCUAUAUUAAUGUUAAGGACCAUAGGUGAUACAAAUUUUUUUUUUAACGAUGCAAUUUGAUAGUUUCGCAAACAUAGAGACGUUUUGUGAUAAAAAUCUUUUUGCAAAUUAUAAUUUGACAUAUGUGCAAAAAUAAUUCAUAAAAAACACAAAAAGAAAAACUUCUACACAUAUAUCAAACUGCCAUCGACAUAAAUGUUGAAACUUCUUCUUUACUAACGGGGAUGGUGGGAAGUAUUUUCCAUAAUAUAAUUGCUCUUUCCUACGGAGGUCGUCCACUCCAAAAGUAAUUAUGAGAACAGAAUAGGGCCCAUUGCGUUUUGCUUAGCAGUCUUGUUUUCUUUCUUUCUUUCUUAUUUCUUCUUUUUGGGGUCUGAACUGCCCCACAUAGGUACACUGUAGCCACCCGCGUAAGAGACACUAGUAAGAUAUCAAAUACGUAUCUUCCCAGAAACAACCACUCCAACAAUUGUCAUCUGCUUUCUUGAUCUAUAAAUUGCGCCUCAUCUAUCAUCUACCCAACAAACCAAACCCAGCUAAGUGUUUUCACUUUGUUUUCAUUCCCUUCUGUUUCUAGCAUCUCUCUUUUAUUUUCUUCUUCUACCUCCAUAGAAUACUUUGAAGGCCCUUAGAAAUAUUAUUCAAAGAUGAGUUCAUCAACUUACUCCGGAGCAGCAUACCCUCCCCCACCUUGUUCUACACCGCCGGGUCAGGCUCCACCACCUGCUGGUUAUCCAACAAGAGAUGCCCCAAAUCCCCAUGGACAUGGAGCUGUAGAAACAAAGUCAAAAGGUGAUGGCUUCUGGAAGGGAUGCUGUGCUGCCUUGUGCUGCUGUUGCGUUUUGGAUGCAUGUUUUUGAACAUCAUCCAGGAGAUUCUUGAAUUGAGAGCCCAAUAAUCCACAUAUAUCUUUCAUUUGUGAAUUUUAUUUUACACACAUUUAUUUCAGUUUUUCCGUUGUUAUACUUCUAUGAGGAAAGGACCAUGUCGAUUUCCCAUAUAGUGAUCCUACGUACCGAUUGUCCAAUUCUUUUUAUUGUAUAAUGAUUCUUAUAAUAAAAUUUCUUCAUUUGCAGCUAAUAUAAGGAAAUCUUCCAUGAAUUUAUCUUGAAUCGGGAUCUUUUGGCUCAACUUUAUCUUAGUUCUAACGAGGGAGCAACCUCAUUUUUCACCUUGAAGUGGUCAAAAUAUAUGUGAAAUUUUUUUACUUUUUGUAGAGGAUUAGAUCUAGUAAUUGGAGGUCAUGGCUGACUCACACCAUAAUUUAGCUAUUGCAAUUCUUUUUUCCUUGGUAGCGGGUCACAUGUAUAGAAUCAACUGGGACAUUGGUCAUUGAUGCAAGAGCAUAUGGGUGGAUUAAGAUAGAUAUUUAGCAUUUAAUUAGUUAUUUCAUGAUAUAUUGUUAUUUUCUUACUUAGGUAGUUUUAAGAUAUCUUUUAUUAUUUCACUACUACAAAAAGUGAGAAAGACGACCAGAAAACAACGACGGUCUAAGUGAAAACCGUCGUGGUUUAUAAAAAGACGACGGUUCUAAAAACACCGUCGUGUAAUACAACCUUAGACAACUAAAAAAUGGAGUUUCAAAUGGCUGUUCAAAAACAACGACGUACAUAAUUAAACAACCGACGUCUAUUUGAAACAGAUUUCCGCAGUGUAAAAUCAAUGCCAACAAAGAACGGCAGAAGUUAUGAAUCGACCGACGUAGAAAGUAAAGACGACGAUUUCAAUAAAAACUGCCGUUUUUACUCAUAAAAUAAGACGACGAGGUUUUCGUAUAAGACGCCGUAUAAUUACAAACAAAUCCACGGCUUUAAAAUACAAAAUAUCGCCGUAUUAAAUUAAUUUACAACGACGGAAAAUAUAAAUAUAUCGACGUCAUUCUCGUAUAGUUCUACUACGUUAUCUUUAAAUCGUACAAUAAAAUUUAUCGUCGUAUUUAUUCAUUUUAUACGUCGUACCUUUAAUUUUAACGGUCGUCUUAAUAAGAAUUUUUGUUAACAAUUUUUUUCUUUGAUUUUCAUAUCCUACGUCGGUAGAUCUACUUAAUGACAAGAAUUGAAAUAACCACGACGGUUUAUAUAGAACACCGCCGACAUAAUCAGUUUUGUCUGAGAUCCCAAGGGUUACGAAAUCUUACCAGAUGGAACUCUGUUCCACAUCAUAAUCUUAACAGAUGACACAGAUUUGCAAAUAUUGCGUCGUGUUAGUUUACAAAUUCUAGAACAUUAAUUUCCCUCAUUUUAAAUUUCCUCGGGAAAGAAAAAUCUAUUUAUCACGCUUUGGAAUUGAAAACUAAAACUGAAAGAAUACGGGAAAAAAAACUCCAUUUAUAAUUUAAAAUUAAAAUCCACGUCGGUUGUAGUACACUUAACGACGUUUAACAAAAUAAUCUACGUCGGUAAUUAUAAAUCUACCGCCAUCGUAACUUAAUAUAGACGACGAGAAAAGACGACGGUAGAACAGAAAACCGCCGUUGUUUCAGUUUCUUUAACAUAUCUUUCUGCAGGACUUGUGUAGUUCAAAGCAUUGACAAUGUCUUCAUCAUAUCUCCCAGAAACUACUGAUUCAAUUGCUCAUGCUUUAGAGGCCAUCUGAAGCCAUUUCUAUUCUUAUCGCAUUCUUGAAACCCAUCUUCUUCUUCUGAAGCUCUACGGAUAAAGGAAGAGGCUAUCACAAUAAAUCCGAUGGAUCUUCUUAGGCAAGAAAAUCAAGCAGAGGAUCAGGCACAUCUGAUCUUCAGAUUUCCCUGAGAAGCGAACUUUCCUUCGACAGCGAGUGGAGGCCAGGCUUGCAUCUCUUUUGAUGGAAAGCAAGGAGUAUUCAGAAGCACUAAGUGUCCUAUCAGGCUUGAUCAAGGAAGUGAGAAGGCUAGUUGACAAGCUUCUUCUUGUGGACAUAUAUUUGAUGCGAGUAAGCUCAAUUUCUCUUUGAGAAAACAUCCAAAUUAUUAUCUUUGAGACAUGAGAGACUGAGAGAGGAAGAACUUGGAACCUUAAAUGUAAACCGAAAAUGAAUGAAAGCGACAAAUUUAUAGAAUAAAUUUUUAAAACCAACGGCGGUCCUUACAAAAAAACCGCCGUUUAAAUUGUAAAAUCAACGUCGGUAUGAUCGACGUAUAUUACAGAAAUCCACGUCGGUAAAUUAAUAAAAACGACGUGUUAAAUAAUAUACCAUGACGCGAGUUAUUACUUAUGUACUUUAAUUUUUGAGUUUACUACGACGGUACCUACAAACUACUGUCGUAUUUAUUUACCACGUCCGAAGUUAAAUGUACCGUCGUAUUUUGUAAUUUAUACGUCGUAGUUAUAUGUAACCGCCAUAUUAUUUUUUUGAAAUGGUUUUAUAUGUAAGCAACUUUUCGUCUACUUGACUUACACAUUUGUUGUUUUUAUAUUCUUAUUUUAUUUAAAUCUGUCAUCCAAAAAAGAAACUUUACAUAUUGCAGAAUAUUAAUUUCCUUCGUUUUAAAUUUCCUCCGGAAAAAAAACUCUAUUUAUAACGCCCUGUAAUUGAAAAAUAAACUGAAAGGUCACGGGAAAAAAAAUUCUAUUCAUAAUUUAAAAAUUAAAAUCCACGUCGGUUAUAUUAAACCUAACGACGUUAAAUGAAAUGAUUCCACGUCGAAUGAAAAAUAUUGCGUCGUUUUAGUUAAAAACGACGUAGUUAAAUGUAACCGCCGUAUUAUUUUUUUGAAAUGGUUUUAUAUGUAAGCAACUUUUCGACUUACACAUGCACUGUUUCCAAACCCGAUUAAAAAUUUCAAUCUCCCAGAGAAACCUUUUCGUCUUUUUUCCUUGUCAGAGCAUUGUCAGAGUUUCUCAUCGUCUUCCUCUCGUCUUCUUCGUCGUCUCUGAACUUAAACAUCGAUCAUCUUCCUCUUGCUUUCAUUGCACGCAAAAGGUAAGCUUUCAUUUUCACUAUUUUGGUUACUGUUUUGCAUGCUCAUACGUUUUUUGUUUGAAAAAUCUUUUUACCUUUUUUAUGGCCAAAAUCGUUUUACUUCUUUCCAAGUUUGAUAAAAUAUACAGACAAAGAGAGAAAGUUUCCAACUUUGAAGACAACUACAUCAACUAAAUAAGACGACGGUAGACCACGACGGUUCGUCAGUUGUUCUAGCGUCGUCUGAAAAUUGACAAAGUUGUUUUUAAAAUAAUAGUCUUUUUUUAUAUGCUUGUUUAAUUGCAGGUUUGAUUUCGCUGAACAAUGGUUUUUGUUUUUCCCUUAUUUGAUAAAAUAUAAAGAAAAAGAAACUAGGGUUGGUAUCUAAUAUAGACGACAAAAUAUCUUAUUGUUUUACGUCGUGUGAAUGUUAAUACCACGACGGUGUAUUACUAUUGACGUCGUAUGAACAUAAAUACCACGACGUUAUAUAAAUAAUAGUUUACCACGACGGUGUAUUACUAUUGACGUCGUGUGAACAUAUAUACCACGACGUUAUAUAAAUAAUGGUUUUAAACAUUUAUUACGUCUGAGAUUAUUUCAUUGCGUCGUCUAAAAUCAUAUCAUACGUCGUAUUUUUUUAAUACCGUCGUUUGUGUUCUUAAUGUUUUCCUGAAAUAUUUUCACUUGCAGUUUUGUCUGUUAAAAUGGUUUCUCAACAACAAACUAAGGAUUCUGGCUCCAAGAAGCUUGGAAUGGUAGCUCCUCAAGAUAAGUCUUCGAAGGAGAUGAAGUCUUCGAAGAAGAUGAAGUUUGCUUCAUCAUCUGCUGAGACAGAACAAACCAGCCAGACAACAAUCUCAGAUGAUUCAAGGACUGGUCGAGGUAUGAGCACAAUGCCUCGUGUUGUGAAGAGAAAGCUUCAGAAACUGAGGCCAAUUGUUGAGUACAAUAAAAGGGGGAAAGGUGUUGGCCAAGCACAUAUUGAGAUGCAGUCGUAUAUUGGUGUGUUGGCACGCUCCAGGAUCCCACUUGUGGACAAGAAAUGGUCCCAAAUCCCCAAGGAUAUAAAGGAGCAGAUUUGGGAAGCAGUUGACAUGGCUUUUGUCGUAGGCCAAGGGGGCAAGACCUCUGUUUUAGCUUCUGCUUCCAAGAAAUGGAAGGAUUUACUACGUCGUUGAAUGGAUAUACUACGUCGGUUAUGAAAAAUAUCGUCGUCUGUGAUUGAAUUUCUUUUUAUUUAUAAACCCUAAUAGUCAUUGUUUAUGCAGUAUGCCAAGGGAAACCAGGAAGCUUCAUACCCCCAAGAAGCCAUUGAUGAAGUCCGGAAUGAAUGGGCAGAGUUUGUUUUCCAAAUUAUUAAACAGGGCAAUUAUUGAACACUUGAUAUUUAUGUAUAAUGUACCAAUUUUCUCUAUAAUAUGUAAUGUAAAAAUUUGUUGAGGUUUUCUUAAAUUAAAAAAAAAAACAAACAUACAAAUUGCUUAACCGACGUGUAAUACUUUUCCAACGACCUAAUAAAGUCAAUAACCGUCGUAUUUUGUUGUUGCGUGUUUUAAACAAAUACGACGUAAAAAAAUAGUUAGACGACGUUCUUUGAACAAUUGAGUCGUUAAUGGUUUACAAUAUCUUCAAUUUCUUAAGGGUUCAGGGUAUAAUCGACGACGUUUAUGUAACGACUGCGGUUAAGUCGUAAAAUAUAUAUUUUACGUCGUAUAGUUAAAUAGCCGCCAUGGUUUCUCAUUUUAACGACGUCAUUUUAACGACUUAGUAGUCUAUUACAAUUUACAACGUCUACAAUUUAUUUAACACCGACGUGGUUUGUUGUAUGGUAAGAAUAUUUUAUUAUUUUUAUAUCAAAAUAUUCAAAAUAAAUAUAAAAUAAAUCAGAAAAUUGAAAAGUCAACUCCUAUGAAGUCAUUGAUAUAUUUUCUUCCACAUAAACCUUGAAAAAAUUCAUUUUGAAUAACAAAAAUUUAAAAUGACCAUCCAAAACAAAAUUGUUUUGAUGAGUCAUAAAAUCACUUCUAGUUUUAUGGUUUAGGGUUUAGAGUCUAGGGUUUAGAGAUUAGGGUUGUUAUUUAUUGGGGUUUAUUUUUAAAGUAUAAUUUUUGGGUAGUCUAGGGUAUAUGUUAGGCUUUAAAACCAUAAAACCUUUUAUAAACUUAAUUUUUUAAAUUGUAUAAUUUAAUUUUAUGGGUUUAGUGUAUUAAUUUUUAACGACGGUGGUUGGGUCGUGGAAUACAUAUUUUACGUCGUACAGUAAAACAUACGACAUGGUUUACGCUUUAAACGACGUCAUUUUAAUAUGUAAGUCGGUUUAUAUAAUUUACAACGUUUUUAAUUUCUUAACACCGACGUGGUUUCUCAUUUUAACGACGUCAUUUUAACGACUUAGUAGUCUAUUACAAUUUACAACGUCUACAAUUUAUUUAACACCGACGUGGUUUGUUGUAUGGUAAGAAUAUUUUAUUAUUUUUAUAUCAAAAUAUUCAAAAUAAAUAUAAAAUAAAUCAGAAAAUUGAAAAGUCAACUCCUAUGAAGUCAUUGAUAUAUUUUCUUCCACAUAAACCUUGAAAAAAUUCAUUUUGAAUAACAAAAAUUUAAAAUGACCAUCCAAAAUAAAAUUGUUUUGAUGAGUCAUAAAAUCACUUCUAGUUUUAUGGUUUAGGGUUUAGAGUCUAGGGUUUAGAGAUUAGGGUUGUUAUUUAUUGGGGUUUAUUUUUAAAGUAUAAUUUUUGGGUAGUCUAUGUUAUAUGUUAGGCUUUAAAACCAUAAAACCUUUUAUAAACUUAAUUUUUUAAAUUGUAUAAUUUAAUUUUAUGGGUUUAGUGUAUUAAUUUUUAACGACGGUGGUUGGGUCGUGGAAUACAUAUUUUACGUCGUACAGUAAAACAUACGACAUGGUUUACGCUUUAAACGACGUUAUUUUAAUAUGUAAGUCGGUUUAUAUAAUUUACAACGUCUUUAAUUUCUUAACACCGACGUGGUUUUUCAGUCGUCGUUAUAUAAAAAAUUCAAAAUAAAUUUAAAAUUAAUCCGAAAAAUGAACGGCCUUACGUUCUUAAUCCGAAAAAUGAAGUUUCCGUCGUGGAAUAUUAAAUUUACGUCGGUACUUGUAGAACUUUCGCCUUGGUUUUUCUUUCGACGUUUUAUAACGCGCGCGCUCUAAAAAUUUUCGCGCGACCUAAAUUUUUUUAGAUUUGGCUCUUAUUCUUAUACUUUGAUCCCUGAAACCUAAAAUUUCAGAUUUCACGCGACAUAACAUUUCGCUCUCUCACUUCUGCUCUAAUUAAAAGUUGCACUCUCCAGGCUCGUCGAAUCUGUGAGCUCGUCCAACCUGUAAGUACAAACCCUAUCUUCCCCUUGUAAAUUCAUUGAAUGAUAUUAGGUUGUUUUGUUAAAGGGUUUUAGGUAUAUGCUUUGCGAUCUGUUAAUAAUGUGCUUAUAGGUAUGGGUUCAUGGAUUUUCUGUUUAAUGGGUUCAUGACAAAGGUGUACUUUUGCUGGAAAUCAACACAAAAAGACACAUCACCAACUUCCAAAUGAUUUCCAGCAAAAGGACACCUUUAUUUGAUCUUGUCAUUUUCCGCUCUGGAGAAGGUGCAAAGUGCACCAAUGCUUAUAGGUAUGGGUUCAUGGAUUUUCUGUUUAAUGGGUUCAUGGAUUACAUUAUCUGUUAUGUUGAAUUGGGAAUGGAUUUAAUUUUGUCGUAUCUUUUAAUCACCCUAUGUUAUGUUGAAUUGGGAAUGGAUUUAUUGUUUUCAUGCUUGGUUUCAUGUAUAUGUUGGUUUCUUGCUUGGUUUCAUAUAUAUGUUGUGUUCUUAAUGGGUUUUGUGUUCUUGAAAAUAAACUGAGACACGACGAAUUUUAAGGCGUACGACGACGAUUACACGACGGUGUUUUUAAACUACCGUCGUUGUAUUACUUAUACACGACGGUUUUUUCAUAAACCGUCGUUUGUAUUACGUAUAAUAGACGACGUCUGUUGAAAAUCCGUCGUCUAUAUAUGCCAAAUACGUCUGUUUUUGAUUAAAACCCGUCGUCUCUGUUGUUUAUCUUAUAUAUUUGGGACCGUAAUGCUUGAAUUUUUCGUGUCAUGUAGGCAACAUAUGAUCCACAUCAAGACUGCUUAUCCAAAAUUUAGAAAGAGAACAAAGUGGCUGCAGGAUAAGCACAAUAGCACUUUCAUUCAAUGGCUACGCUUCAAGGUAUAUGUUGUUCAAUAACGUAUUUCUCUUUUAAUUUUCUUCUUAUUUAUAUGUUAGGAUGAAUUAAGAUAUGAUUAAUUUGCAGGUUCAAAGUGAAGUUGAGGAAGACAAUCAUGGCGUAUCAGAAAAUUUAAGGUGGCUAGCAGCUGGUCCAAACAUGUCAGUGCCAUUAUAUAGGAGCUAUCUUAUUAAAGGUAUUAAAUUCAAUAUCAAGGCACAAGAUGAUGUGCGGACAACUCAAAAUAGUGGAGUUUAUUUACUUGCACAUACCAUGCAAGUUGCUAGUGCCAAGGAUAAAAACCCAAUUCUCUCAAAUAUGGGUUUCUAUGGUGUCAUUCAAGAAAUUUGGGACCUUGACUACCAAAAGUUUACAAUCCCAGUCUUUAGGUGUGAUUGGAUAGAUAGUUCUGGUCUUGUAGUCGACGAACUUGGAUUUACCCUUGUAGAUUUGAGUAAAAUUGGACAUAGGAAUGACCAAUUUGUUUUGGCUUCUCAAGUCAAACAAAUAUUUUUUGUUGACGACCCGAUGCAUCGUGGUUGGUCGGUAGUGUUAUCAAUGCCUAGUAGAGAAUAUAAUGAUGUUAUUGGUGAUGAAGUAUUAGGUGAUGUGAUAAUUGAGUGUGAGCCAUUUACUAGAGGGAUGCCAAAUGUUGACACAUUUGAUGAACUGGUAGGUGAGUUAGGCGGUCAAAAUAUUCGAGAUGGGUGUGAAGAUAUAUGGAUUGAAUGAUGCUUAUGUAAUUGGCAGUGUAUGACAUUAAUUUUGUAAUAUAUUGUAAUGUGAUUUCUUCACUUUCUACGUUCAAAUAAAACACGACGUUAUUGUGAAUCAGUUAUUCAGCAUAUUUACCGACGUCUUAAAGCAACGUAACAAUGAAGAACCACGACGCUAUUGUGAAGCAAUUAUUCAGGAUAUCACGUCGGUGAAGGAUAAAGAACCGCCAUGUAAUUCAAAAUAACACGACUCCAAUCCCAUAAUACCGACGUCUAAAAAACGAGAUAUGUAAUCUGAACGUUAAAAAAUACGACGUCAUCAUACAUUUUCCACGUCGCAAGUUCUUUUAUAAACGAAGAGGAACGAAAUUAAUUCCGACGGAAAUUCAUUAUAACCGCCGUCUAAUAACAAUUAAACGACGUUAUUUGUAAUACGGCUCCCAUCAUAAUCUACGCCGUCUAUAUGUUCUGUAAUACGGCUCUCAUUUAUUUGGAACCGACGUUGUUUAGACGUUCAACGUCGUCUAUAUUAUUAAGUGCGUCGUGAGUAAUGAAUACAUAUAAAUACAACGUCGACUAUAUAAAUGUAUACGUCGUAAAUAAUGACACUGACAACUAUUUCCACGUCAUCUUUUUUAGAAAAAUCGAAGUGGAAAAUUUAUUUCACGACGGUUUUUUGUAAAUAAGAGACGUUGUAGAACUUUAGCAGACUAAACACGUCUGUUUUUAUUGUUUUCCGACGUUGUUGUAUUUAACAACGUCUAAUAUUUAUGGUCGUUGUUUGUUUCUGAAAAUAGGACGUAUAAAUUUUUUAAUACGACUCUCAUAUAUUUGUAACUGACGUUGUUUAGUUUUUCAACGUCUACUAUAGAAACACAUACGUCGUAAAUAAUGACACUGACAACUAUUUCCACGUCAUCUUUUAUCGAAAAAUCGAAGUGGAAAAUUAAUUGUACGACGGUUGUGUUUAUAUGUGCGACGUAGUAGGUAUCAAUAACGUCGUCUUCUAAUGUAUUUAAAGACGUCAUAUUUUUUAUUGUCGUGAAAAUUAUAUUUAACGUCGGCGUAUUUUUAGUGUCGUCGUUGUAUGUCUAUCUUGCGGCUUUGUUCUCUUAAUAUGUGUCAUAUUUUCCCUUUUUAACGACGGUGUUUUUAGAGAAUUGGUCGUCUAUUAUCAUCCUCGAUUGCUUUUUUUAGAUCUUUUUGCAGUACAAAGACGUCGUUUUGUAUUUUUUGAUGACGUUGUAUUGUUUAACAACGACGGUUAUUUAGCGUCGUGGUUUAUGAGGGAAAAGAUGACGGUGGAUUCCACGACCAUUGAAAAACCAAAUACACGACGGUGAUUUACCGUCGUCUUUUUGCUUUUUUGUAGUAGUGUUUGUGUGAUUUUAUAAAUUAAUUAGUUUACUUUUGGACCAAGUAGCCUUGGUGCCCAAGUCUUGUAAAGCCUAUAAAUAAGGCUAAUGUAAUAGUUGUUGGGGAAGGGGGGGUGUUGAUGUUGAUAAUUAAUGAAAUAGUUUAUUUGUGGUAUAGAUUUGCUACGAUAUAUGCGAGUUUGCACUAAUCCUAGAUUUCGGUACUUGUGUAUGUGGUUGGUGACCUAUGUUCAGAUCCCGAUCCCCAUCAAUUGGUAUCAGAUCUAUGGCUCAAGAUUUGCUUUAUCAGGAAGGUUUUUGGGUGGAGGGUCUUGUUGACAACUACAACGACAUUGAGGAAAUUAGAAGGAUGCUACGGCAACUUACGGAAUGCAUCGCUCGCAUUGAAGCUCAAACCCAGAUAGGUAAGAGUUCUGACGGGUAGAGAUGCGUGAACCCUUAUCUGAAUCGAGUAGCUCGCAUCGACACUCUAAGCCAUGGGAGUCUCGACAGAGAGUAUGAGGGAGGUAGCCCUUUGAUUCAAGCCUACGAUAUAUGUGAGUUUGUACUAGACCUAGAUUUCAGUAUUCGUGUAUGUGGUUGGUGACCUAUCUCCGGAUCCCGAUCCCCAUCAGUCAUGAUAUAAAAGAUAUUUUAUAGAGACUUACAUUCCCAAUGUGGGACAUGUCGCUUAACCCAACAAUCUUAACUAGUAUAAUACGAAACAAAAAACAAUGAUUGAUGUUUCAUUUCCUUAAUAUGUCAGAUGAAUUCUGUAGGGGCUUUUUUUCUUCCGGUAGCUAUAAAUGGGCUGGACUGCCGUAAAGAGCAAAAUGGCUGAAAUUUCCCCUUUAUGUUUGAGUUCAAAUAUCAGACCCCAAAAUGUUUCGAAAGGAUAGUAAAGCCUUAGGAAACACCCUAGUUACCUUCACCAACGAACAUAAUGGUUGUUUACAGAUGAAUUCUUAGUGCUUACAUGUAGAAUCUUAGCUUGGCAUGAGAGGCUUGUGGCAUGGGAGCAAAGUUGUCAUGAGUUUAGCACUAAAGAGAAAAUUAAGUAUUCCUAGGGGAAAGAUGUGGUAUUAAGGUGGGAGAGAAAUGAUUUUACAAAGAGGUUUGGUUGAGCAUGAAGGAAAGAGAGGAACGGGUGGCUUGAGUGUUUUUCCUGCAGCUUGACAGAGGCUCUGUCAAGUGUUAGAACAGCUUGCCAAGAGGGAAACUAAGGGAAAAGGAUGGGUUGAGCACGAAAUUGCUGGGUUUUGGGAGUAAGAGAGGAAGUUUGCUUUCUGGAUGUGAUUGAUGCUUGUUGGGUAGAAGAGGCCUCUUUUAUAGCCGCUGGAAGCUGACAUUUUCCAAGAAACCCUUAUAGUUUCUAUCCAAUUUGGCCAAAUCUCUCCCUUCAUUUCUUCUCUCCUCCUUUGAAUUUUCCCAUCUUGGUGAAAUUUCUUCGGUCUAUUUGCACAAAAUCAUGGAUUUUUGGGAGCUCAAGGCCCUUUCCCGCAGCUGUUUUAGUAGGAGACUCCCAUUCUCAGCUAUUUCACUUUUUCUUUCCUUCCUCCUUCCAUGGCUAGAUCUGAUCAAGGAAAGCAAAUGGAUAUACAUGCUAGUUCGAAGGGUGCCUCUCCUCCUGGCAGCUUGCGCGCUAAUAUCCUUUGGUUCUUCGGAUGUUUUGUGCAUGGAACUUGUUCCUUCCCAUGUGCUAGAGCCUUCCAGCAGCUCUGCAUAUGUGGACAUCUUGCUCCCUUCGUGGCUUCUAUUUUUUCAGCAAGGGGUUGAGGCUUUUGCUGCUUCUCAUUUCUAAUUGUAUGGGCCUUCUAAGAUAACAAGUCAACUUACCAAAUAAAUGGGCUAAUCUCAUCAAGUAUUGGGCUAUAUUGGUUAAUUUAAUGGACCAUUUUGGGCUAAGGUAAUGAGCUAUUUUUCUCCUUCGUGCUUACCCAUAUAUUUGGGCUUAAGAAAUGGGCUUGGGUUCUGAGGCUCCCAAGCAACCCGGGACCUGUAUUUCUUGGCCCAUCAAUGGGCCUUAUGACAACUUAUUACCAUCUAUACCACAACCCACUCAAGCAAGCCCCUGACAUUUGAGUGGCUUGGGUCCACUUAGGCUUGUAGCGUGGUUGGGUGUGAAAUAAUAAUUUCCUGCUUGACCUGGCAUGUUGCUUGGUACGCUCUAAUUUUAUUGUCCUUAGAGAGGGACACGGUGCUUAUUUUAGCAUGGGCUUGUAUUUUAUAACCUUACCCCAAUUCCUGGCAUGACAAAUUAUUUAUUUAGCUUAGCACGUGGGCUGUGACUUGUAUAUGACUGGCCUUCAUGUACUCUGAUAUGUGACUUUUCUUAAUAAAUUAUCGUAUUUGGGCCGAAAAUUUAUUUGGGUCCAACCAUGGACUUUUUUUGGGCCUCAACAAAUUCCAAUGCAAAAAAUAAAUAGAAAAGCUUUAUGACGUUAAAAAUUUGAAAUUAAACAUAACAUUAAUUAAAUUCAACCUGAAAUGUAAACUAUGCAUAAUGAGGUAAAAUGUCAAAAAGUGUAUUUUUUUUCGGCCAUCGGAUUUCAAAAUGCAUUUAUUUCAAUAUAAUCUAAAUUACGGAGAGAGGAAUUCGAACUUGGGUGCAGAGUGGGGAGUAUGUCUGUUCUAACCAACUUGGCUAAGCCCAUGCCUACACUAGAGAUAUAUAAUUCUAAAAAGUGAAUGAAAUUAUUGAUGAAAAUGUGACCCAAAAAAAAAAAACCAUCUUGAAGAAUACUUCUAGAAAGCCAGAGGCGAAAAAUUUGGCUCUUUAAAAUUAAGGAGGAACUCAUCCUCAAGGCAAAUGAAAAUUUGACAUAUGUCAAAUUAUGUCAAAUUCCAAAACAAAGAAAGUUAAAAGAAUUUUAAAAAUAAAAUUGACAAGUGUCAAAAUCCCUUUUGUUUUGAGAAGCAACUCGAGCUUAAAAGGAGUAGAGGUGUCAAACGGGACGGGCCGAACCAGCACAGCACGAGCCCAGCCCGUUUAAAUGAGGCACGACAUGGUACGAGCAUGAAUAUUGAUUGGCCGUGCUUGGCACGGCACGAAAACUUGAGCCAAGCCGGGAUCAAAAAAUGAGGUCCAAUAGACCGGGCCGGCCCAUGGCCCGACAUGGGCCGGGCUUGGCCCGAGCAUGCUUCAAGCACGGCAUGAGCCCAAGCACGAGCCCAAGCAUGGCCCAAGCACAGUCCACUUAACAUUUUUUUCUUUCUCAAAAGUCAAAAUGCAAUAAUUUGACAUAUAAUAUCAUUAUUUAUAUGUUUUUUUUUAAUAAUAUAAAUAUAUAUUUUAUGUCUUUCAUUUUAGGGAAAUUACUUGGGUCCUUAAUUAAUUAAACAUAUCAACUACAAAUUAAUUAAACAACACUGGACUUGAUAUCUAAUCAGUACAUAUGACAUAUACGCUUCUCUUAUAAUCAAAGCAAGACAUUUUUUCACAUAUAAAAUAAUAAAUUGUUUAAAGAUGAAAAGAUGAAGUGGACUUUGUGGAGUUGGACACUUUUUGCCGUCCGCCAUUUCAUAUUAUUUGGAUGUUUGAUUGAUUAUUGUUUUCAAAUAGUUCAUAAUUUCUUGCCCUUAAUUAUACUUUUAAUGUUUAUAAUUUGAAUUAUCUAGUAGAAAAAAAAAAUCAAGUGAAAAAAAAUCAAAUUAAAUGGAUUGGUUCUUGGGCCCGAAUAUGGCACGAGCUCGGCCCGACCCGGCCCGAUUCAAUAUAGACAUGGGCUUUGGGCCGGACCGAAAUCAAUGAUUUUACUAAAUGGGCCGGCAUGGCACGGCCAGAUAAAUUAAAUGAACCGGUCCUGCCCGACACAAAAACAUUAAAAGUACGAGUUUAAACAGGAUGGGCCAGCCCGGCACGGCCCCUUUUGACACCUCUAAAAAGAAGUCAAGCUUUUUUCCAAGCCAACUAUGUUGGAUAUCCUCUCACGAGUUGGAUAUAAUAUGAUUUGCUCUUUCCUACGUAGCUUCCACUGGCUAGUCCAAAAGUAAUAAGAAGAAUAAAAUUUUGUAUUUUUCUUCUCCACAUACAUUUUGGAUUUGCACGCGGUGUAGUGUUGCCACCCGCGUUAAGACACUAAUUAUUGACCUUCCAGGAAAUGAACAAUCACUCCAAUUCCCAUCUGGUUUUCUUCAUGUAUACCUAUAAAAUGGGGCUUCAUUCAUCAAAUCAAACCAUCCAAUACAAACCAAACCCAAACUAGAAAUACUCAGCUUAUUAUUUUUCAACUAAAGUGAGUUCGUCGACUAAUUCCGCAGCAGCAUACCCUCCUCAUCCCCAACCUUACUCGAUGGCGCCCGGAUCUUAUUACGUGCAGGCUCCGCCACCUGCUGGUUAUCCCACAAGAGAUGCUCUAAAUCCUGCUUCCGCUCAUCAUGGGCCUGUAGAAACCAAGUCCAAGGGUGAUGGCUUCUGGAAGGGAUGUUGUGCUGCCUUGUGUUGUUGUUGUCUCUUGGAUGCUUGUUUUUGAACAUCAUGAUCCUAUGCGAUUCUUGAAUUCAGCCCAGUAAUCAUAUAUUUCUUUAUUCGUUUGUGAAUUAUGUUUUCCUCACUUUUUGUAACUUUUGCGUUAUUAUUCGAUUAUGUAAUUCUUGUUGUUGCAUUAUUCGUAUAGUAAAAUUCUUUAAUUUGUUCAAAUAAAAGAAAGAAGUUUUUGUGAGUAUUAAAUAGUUGGGUAAUUUUCACUUUAUUACGGUAAAGUUUACUGACUUUUAGAGCUCGAUUCAUCAAAUUUUGUUCGUUUCAGUGGCAUACACAAAGUUUAUUUUCUUACAACUUUCAUACAUAUCGUCAGUCUUUCUGUUAAUUGCUGACGUGGCAACAAAUGUGCCACGUAAACUCACUCAUAUGAUGCCACAUGAUCCAUAUAUAUUAUUAAAUAAAUAAACAUAAUUUAAUUCAUUAUUAAAAUAAAAAACUUGAAAUAAAAUAUAUAUAUAUAUAUGUCUCUCUCUCACUCUCUCUCCUCCAUUCCCUGUUCUCUUUCCAAUCACUCAUCCUCCAUCAUCAUCACCCAGACACCCCUUCCUCUUUUCCUCUUCAAUCACUCAUCAUUCAUCACCCACAUACUGGGUAUUUAUUUCUCUCCCUUUUUAUUUUUAAUUUUAUUGAGUUAUUUAUUGGGGAGUUCUGUAAAUUUUGGGAAGUGGUGGACUUUGGAUUGGCUUUGGUUAUGUGAAAAAACAAGGUACAUUUUGGGGGAGAUAUUUCUCCGACGUCACUCUAUCCUCUAAAUCUGAGUUGCAGGAAAAGAGAGGGAGAGAUGAGAAACAUAACAGGGGAGGACAUGGAGAGAGAGAGACAGAGAGAGAGAGAGAGAGAGAGAGAGAGAGAAUAUGAAGGUUUAACGGUACAGUUGAGUUUGGGGGUUGGGAAGGGCUGCUGGGUAUUGUUAAAAAGUUAUUCCUAAUUUAUUUUUGUUUUAAAUAUUUGUAAACAUUUUAAAUAAUUCAAGCAUUUUUUAUUUUAAAUUUGAAAUUUGAAAUUUUAAUAGUUAAAUUUAUCAAAAUACUCAUGUCAUGUCAGCUGAUUUAACGAUUUUUAUUUGAAAACUAACGAAAUUGGGCAACCUUAGUCACAGAAUGGAAGUUCAGGGGGCUGAUUGAGUCAUUUAAAACAUCAAAGGGCAAACUAAGACUAAUUGAAAACCACAUAAGGCAUUUCAACAAAUAAGCCUAAAAAUUAAUUAUAGAAAUCCCAGAAUUUGGUUAUUGUCAUGAUUUGGUAUUGGGCAAGAACGAACCUCCUCCUCCCAAAUAGUAAUGUCGUUACACCUCAAAGCAAAGCUAGCAAGAGUGUGUGCAACACGAAACGUAUGAUUGUAUAAGAAACGUAGGUAAUUUGUUUUGUAUCAUAAAAAUUUUAAAAUCUUUGUGUUGUAGUCUAGUAGAGAACGUGGUCAGCUUUGUGCUAAUCGAUCGUCUAUUUCUUGUUACCUGCGUACGAUAAAUGUCAAUGACCGAAAGCUGCCAUUUUAAGUACUUGAUUUGUUAUUCCUUCCAAUAUUUUCAUCAUCUUCUUCUUCUCCGUCGCAUACUUCUGGUUUAGCAUAUACACUCCGGAUCGGUACUUUUUGAAGAGGCUUUACUAUUCAUAGCUUGUUCAAAGAUGUGUUACAGAGCAGCAUACGGUUCUCUACAUUCCACGGCACUGAAACUGGAGCCUCCUGCGACAUCGACCAGAUCCUCCUUAUCCCGUACGAGACUGGUUCAUCUGGAAGAUGUCUUGUUCGGUAGUUUCAUUCAGGAUAUGUUCGUUUUUAGGCCAGGAUGUUCCAUCCCUCACUCCAACCACGACACUCUGGUGCCUUUAUUUCUUCUCCACCGUUGGCAUGUUUUGUAGUAUUAGUAUUGUGGAGGAGGUCAGGUCCAGAUACUACUGAUAUUAUUUUCUUUUUUCUUUUUCUUCUGUUUAAAGGGAGAUUGGAUGUUACUGGUUGUCUGUUGCAAAUAAUUAGAAGCAAUCUAAGUAUUAUUGAUCUAGCUAAUGGACAUUGUAUUUAUGCAAGUUGUACAGAUUAGUUUGAUGUGAAACUGGGGAGACAUGGGCCUAGAUGUAUUCAAUUGCCUACAAACACAAGGCCUAAUGAGAAAGAAAUAUAUUCUAUCAGAGGUCUUGCUUUUGUUCUUGAUACACACACUUUGAUAUUUUGGUAUACUGUGACCUUUGUGCAUGCGGCUAUUCAGACCUGAUAUAGAUAUACAGUGUAUCCUAAUACACGGUAUGCAUACGUCUAAUAAGAUUUCAAAACACCGGUAAGUCAAGGUUCUUUUUCCACUCUUCUAUAUAAGAAAAUGAACUGAAGAGGAAGAGAGAGAGGGAUGAGAACAGAGAGAUUAAGAAUAAUUGCCACAAUCUAGUGAUAGUUCUCUGUAUUAUCUGCAGUAUAAAUAUUGGUACAUGGGGUAGACUUUCUCAAGUCUAUUUACAGAAACUUAAUGUUAUAAGGUAAGUCCAAUCAAUUACAUAUAUUACAGAGGAAUUGACAAUCAAUCAUUCUGGCUGAUGAAUGCCGUGCUUGUGGUUAGGAGGCUUCUAAGGCUAAUGUAAUGGGAUUAACUAAUUUCAUGGGGCUGACAGAUUGGAUAGGAUCUGCUGGGGUAGUAUUCUCUUUACCCCCCUUCAAGCGUAACGGAGCAACGCGAAGAUUGAGCUUGGAUUUAAGAAGAGAAAACCGCUCGCGACUAAGGCCUUUGGUGAAAAUGUCAGCAAGCUGAUGAGAGGAGGGAACAUAGAAGGUGUGAAGAGCUUUGCGAGCAACAAGUUCACAAACAAAAUGAUAGUCGAUCUCGAUAUGACGGGUGCGAGCAUGGAAAAUAGGAUUGGCAGCCAUAUAGAUGGCAGAGAGAUUAUCAACAUAGACGCAAGGGGCAGAGCGAAGAGGAAUACCAAGUUCACGAAACAAGAAACCAAACCAGCGGAUUUCAGCGGCAGUGUGGGCAAGAGCACGAUAUUCAGCUUCAGUGCUAGAACGAGAAAUAGUAGACUGUUUCUUGGCAGUCCAUGUGAGAAGAUUAGGUCCAAAAAAAAUACAAGCACCAGUGGUAGACCGUCGAUCAUCAACAGAACCAGCCCAAUCAGCAUCAGAAAAAUCGCGUAAAGUAAAGUCAUUGGACCGGUGAAACACAAGACCUUGCUCAACUGUACCUUUGAUAUACCGAAAAAUGCGCUUGACAACCUGAAGAUGAGAAGAACGAGGGUUGUGCAUGAACUGACAUACCUGAUUAACAGCAAAGGAAAUAUCAAGCCGCAAGAGAGUAAGAUAUUGAAGGCCACCUACCAUACUCCGAUAGGUAGAGGGAUCAGAUAAGGGAUCACCAUCCAUACAGGACAAUCGAGUGUCAGAGGGCAACGGUGAAGGACACUGUUUGCAGUCAGUCAUGUUAAACCGUGUCAAUAAAUCAACUGCAUAUCUGGUUUGAGAAAGAAAUAAAUGAUCGGGAAACCGAGAAAUUUCCAUGCCAAGAAAAAAAUUGAGCUCACCCAUUCGGUGACUGUCAAAGGUGGAGCACAGUUGAUCAAGAAAUUGGUGGACACUUUGAGGGUCAGACCCGGUGACAAUGAUGUCAUCCACAUAUACAAGAACAUAGACGGUGCAGGAAGUGGAGCAAUGAAUAAAGAGUAAUGCAUCAGCGUGACUGUGAACAAAUCCCUGAUCAAGAAGAAAGGCACUGAGGCGGUGGAACCAAGCUCGGGGAGCCUGCUUAAGGCCAUAGAGAGCCUUAUGGAGCCGACAUACAUCUUGAGGACACGAGGAAUCAUGAAAACCAGGAGGUUCUUUCAUAUACACCUCUUCUUGCAAGUACCCAUUCAAGAAGGCAUUUCGAACAUCAAGCUGCUGAAGAGACCAGUUACAAGACAUAGCAAGAGACAAGAUAGUGCGAAUGGUGGUCGGUUUAACGACGGGGCUAAAUGUUUCCUCAUAAUCAAAUCCUUCCUAUUGAUUGAAUCCCUUUGCAACAAGGCGAGCUUGUAGCGGUCAACAGAGUCAUCGGCUUUCCGUUUAACUUUGAAAACCCACUUGCAUCCCACAAUAUUCAUUUGAGAGGUUGCUGGCACCAAAGACCAUGUUUGAUUCCUCAGGAGGGCAUCAUAUUCAUCCUUCAUGGCAGCUUGCCAGUGACUGUAUUUGGAAGCCUGUGUGAAACUUGUUGGUUCGAAGGACAUGGGAUCAGAGCAGGCCGCAGAGAGAGCAUGGGGUAAGGAGUGUGGAUGGGUCGUAGAGUACAAGGGUUUUGGGGCAGGACCAAAGGGGAUGAUGGACUUGAGGCUCUUAAACUUUUGGGGAGGGUUUGGUGUAUCUGGAGAAUUAGGAAGGAGAGAUGGGUCAAGGGGGGAAGAAGAUUGAGUGAAUGGAUUAAGAGGGGAAGAGGACGGUGUCGACUCGGGUGAUGGGUUUGUGGCGUCCGUGAUGGAGUCUGGGGUCGUAGGGCUGAAUGGCGACGAGGGAGACAGAGGCGAUGCCAAUUGGUUUUGGGAGUGGGAGAACGAUGAAAGGACGACGUCUGUUGGAGCAGGGGAGAAAGGUUGUGUUGGGUCAGAUUGUGUAGGAUCAGAUGGAGGUGGGCUGGCGGAGGGGUUGACUGAUAGAGAGUCAAGAAUAAUGGGGGCAGAUUGGGCUGGACCUGUAGAAGUGUUGAUUUGUGAAGAGUCCAGGCUGGGCCCAAUAUCAAACUGAGAGGCAAGUGUGGACUAGCGGCAGGUGUAAUCUGAGGUUGCUGGUAGGGGAAGCUUGUCUCAUCAAAAAUCACAUUCCGGGAUAUAUAAAUGCGACCUGAAAUAGGAUCAAGACAACGAUAGCCUUUAUAAUGAGCAUCAUAGCCAAUAAAUACACAGGGAACGGAUUUAAAAGAUAAUUUAUGCCUGUUGUAUGGCACCAUAUGAGGGAAGCAGGCACAACCAAAACUCUUGAGAAAUGUAUAAUCUGGUGUCCGUUGAAAUAAUUUCUCAUAAGGAGACAUGUGGUCAAGUUGAGGAGUUGGUAGGCGAUUAAUCAGAAAAACCGCAGUAGAGAAGGCUUCAACCCAAAAGCUGUGGGGCAGGCGGGAUUGGGCCAACAAACAAAGGCCCAUCGCAACAAUAUGCCGAUGUUUCCUUCCCACCACUCCAUUUUGUUGGGGAGUGUAUGGACAUGAGAUCUGAUGUGAUAUGGAAUAUGGUCACGUAAAAAUGUUAGGAAUAAUUUGCUAGUAAAUUCUCCAUCACCAUCAAUCUGCAGUUGUUUGAUACUAGAACUAAAACGAUUUUCCACCAUGUUUUUGAAGUGAACAAAUGUAGCAAGAACUUCUGAUUUCUUAGCCAAUGGAUAGAGCCAAGUGAACCGAGUAUUAUCAUAUACAAUGGAUAAAUAAUAACGGUAAUGCCAGGCAAAACAAUCUCUGAAUUCCUGCAAAAGUGCCAUGAGUUCAGUCUUGAGUGGCUCCUUCAAAAGUGUGCUGAUGAAAGUAGGCCUUGGAUCCUCUUCUGUCCCUAAGUUUAUUUCCUGUAGAGGAUCCUCUACUUCUGGCAGGGAGUCAUCCAGUGCUGCUGGUGCAAAAUCUAAUACUUCCUCCUGCAAAAUUUCCUCCUCUUGUUCUUUUGUGCUUUCAUGGGUGAAUUCUGCCAUAUUGAUGGCUGGAUUCUGUAUGAAAAGCCUCCUUUCUCCCCAGUAUAUCAACAAUCUUUUUGUGAUGGAUCGGAUUGUUGCAGCUCGAUCCUUGUCCAGUUGAUUGGGACUAAACAUCAGAGUUCUGGAAGUCAGCAUAAAAAGGUCUAUUCCAGUCCUCUAGAGAACUGGCUAAACCUUCUUCAAUGAGUCUUUGGGCCGUGACACCAUGUGGGCGGCCGUUCUGAUUGACUCCGAGGAAAGUGAAGGGACCGAGGUCAUCAUGAUAAUACCUUGCUUCAAAGCACAUGGCAGAGGGCAGGAAUGGCCGUGGAUCGGCCUCUAUAAUCUCCAUGCAGCCUUCUUCAUUCCAUAGUGCUAACUGCUGGUGGAGGGUGGAAGGAAUACAAAGGCUCUGGUGAAUCCAAUCCCUGCCAAGUAGUGCAUUGUAGGUGGUGGAAGUAGUGUCUAUAACAAAGAAUGCUAUUUUCAACUCUUUGCUUCCGACUAUGACAUCCACAUCUAAGAUGCCAUGUAUUUUGGUGAUGCCCCCAGCGAAGUUGGUGACGGUCAAUCGUGUUGGAAUCAGAUCUUUCUCUGUCCUGCCCAACUUGGUCAGCAUUCUGUGGGGUAAUAGAUUAAUGGCUGCACCUCCAUCUACCAUGAUCUUGGAAAUAGGAAUACCCCCAAGAUUUGCCGUUAUAAACAAAGGUCUGAGGUGAUUUGCCAUUUCUCUGGUUGGCUUGGCGAAACAAGGUUGCUCUGUAGCUGGUUUAUUGGCUGUUCUGCUUGCCUUGGGGUUUUCUGGUUGUGGUUCUGGUGGCUCCUCUGCUUCUGCCAAUCUACAUUCAAAGCUUUCCUGAGAGAAAACAUCUCCUUCCAGAGUGCUUUCUUGUCCUUCGGCAGCCCUGAAUUUCCCUGGUACGAUGAAUACCAUGUUAAUUCCCAGAUCACCCUGUAGGAGGUCUUCUAAUUCUGCCCCAAAAGCUUCUGUUUCUGGAUCCAAUUCUUCACCAAAUUCCAUUAAUUCUUCCCCGUAUUCUUCCGCCCAGUCAUCCUGUUCUGCUACUUCGAGGGGUUCUUUCUGAUCAUCUGCAGAAGGUUCAUAGUCCAAUUGCUCUUCUUCAUAUUCCUCAGUGUAGUCGUCUUCUCCUUGUAAUGGGGUAGACCCGGAUUUCUUUGGUGUCUGCGUGGUGUCAGGACGACUGCUGGACGACGAGGCUACAUGGAUAGGAGACCUGGCUGGUGGUUCUGUUUUCAGCAAUUCCCUUGACUGGCAGGCUUUCUGUUCUGUCUGAGGAAGUGUUUCAGGAUUCUUUCCUUUCCUGGCAGAACUGGGUUGUGAACGUACCUGCGUAUUAUCUUGGCUCCUAAGAUAUGUGCAGUAUUGCCUCUGGAUUCCCCUUUUCUGAGUUCUGGUCAGCUCCAGAGUCGGUCUACCGCUUCUUCCUACGGAAUACCAUCUCCCUUCUAUGAUCGUUGCCAAGGGUUUUUUGUUUCCGGGUGUCUUGACUGGUAUUUCCUUUCUGGGUUGCUCCGUCCUCCUCUCGCUAUAUUGUGUAGGCCUAAGACAGCUCUUCUGCCUUGUUUUGUCUCGGGAUGAGGUUCCAAUCCUGUCAAAGACACUAGGUGUGGGCUGAUUUUGUCUGUCUAGAACCACCUCUAGCUCUGUUUCACAUUUGCACCUACUGCAGAGCACUACCCCAGCCGAGAUGGUCGCUCUUGGUAUUUGACUGGUCUCCCUUAUGACUCUUCUGCCUCUGCUGCAACCAGCAUCUGUGAUUGGCUCGGUUUUCCUUUGUUCUGGCCAAUUUAAGUCGACCAUAUUGACUUGAGGUUGAGGAAAAGGAUCCGUUGUGACCGAUGGUGGUUUUUCUGCCAGUUUCAACCUUCCUGCCGCUAUCCCUUCUUGUAUCACGUUCCUGAAAACCACACAACUAUUGGUAGAAUGGUUCCAAGAGUUGUGCCACCUGCAGUACUGUCUGCCCUUGAGUUCUUCCGGCUUCGGUAUUUUGUGAGGCGUUUCUAUUGCCUUCUGCAGUAGCAUUUCGUCGAACAAGGCAUCAACCUUGGUUAAGUCAAAAGAGUAAACCUUGUUUUGUGUUGGCUUGUUUGGAACGAAUCCUCCUGUGAAUGGUGGUGGCUUUUGGUCUUUAGGUGGCUUUGUGAGGGCUUUGCAACUAAUGGGAUGUUUUAGUUUUGCCAUUUCCGCCACUGAAACCUCUUUCUCUUCUGAUUCUUCCGCAUCUUCUUGUGAUUCCACCUCGAUCAGGUGGACUGAAGAAGAAGGGGUUUUAUAUUAUGUACCUUUGGAGGAGUUCCUCCUUUGCUGUUCUUCCCUGAGUAACUCCUCAUAUUUGGAUGCCCUAUCAGCCAGUUCUGCCAGAUCUCCGAAUAAUAUCCCGUCGAACCUCUUCCUGAGAGAGAUUUUAAGGGCGGCUUGGGCCAUCUGGAUGAAGUGUCUUUCUUCCAUGGGGAUUCGGCACUUCAUUUUGAGCUUUCUGAACCUGGUUAUGAAAUUUUGGGCCGGUUCAUCUUCACUUUGCUUGAGGGCAGCUAGAUCACUGAUGGUGACUUCUGGCUGAAUCCUGUAAUAGUAAUCAUGGAAGACAUUUUCCAUCUGUUCCCAGGUUUGAACAGAGUUAGCUGGCAGGCUGGUGUACCAGGUAAAAGCUUGUCCAGAGAGAGAGUUGCCGAAAAGCCUUAGUUUCAGCAGAGGGUUGUUCUCGAUAGCUAUGCAUUGGACGGAGAACCUGCCUAUAUGUUCAACUGAAGAAGCAUGGGGGUCCUCCUCAUUGAACAGAGUGAAGUUUGGUACUUUGAAACCUGGAGACAACAGUAUUUGAUCGAUAUAAGCUGGGUAUGGCUUUCUGUAAGUAGGCCUUUCCCCCCUUCUAGCCUCGGGCUCCAUGAUUUCUCUGAUCAUUCUUUGCAAUGCUCCUAUGUCAUUCAGAGCAUUGACGGGGGGAAGAUUUUGUCCCUGCUCUGGCUGAACGUAAUCAAACCUGGGUUCUACUCUGUGUGGUCUGGGUGGAACUUCCUCCCUGUGUUCUUCCUGCUCUUCGACUUCUGGAUGAUUCCUCCAGUUUGCCCCUGGUCUAUUUCUGUCAUGAUUAGCAAAAAGGUUCCCUCCUCGGCCUCUCCUCCCUCUUGCAAGUGGAGGGAAUGGAUUAGGGUCCAUCCUUCUGGGUCUAUAUGGCAAUACUGCCGGUGGUUCAGGCAGAAGCGCCAAAGGUUGAUCAUGUGGGGCCACAUGAGGUGGAACGGGCUGAGGUUCUGGCUGGUUCUGAGCCAGUGCCAGGUUAUCUGGUUGAGCUGGGGCUUCAUGUCCUUGAUUAGGAAGGGCUCCUUCCCUCGGGCCAGCCUGGAUUUCUCUGUAGUCUGGCACUCCAGCCAUCUGUGCAACUAGGGGAUUUUCCUGGUAUGGCCACGUUAAUCCCGGCGGAGGGCCAUACGGGAGAUCUAACUGCUGGAGUAUAGGAUCCGGGUUUGAAAUUCUGGCCAUGGCGGAUUCUCGGUCCUUCCGGAACUGUCUGUUAAUCUGCCAUUGCAUCAUGGCUGUCAUGUUAUUGAGAGUGUCCUGGCUCCUUUGCACUGUGAUUUCUUGUCGGAGUACUGACUCCUGUAUUUGAUUCAUCCUUUUGGAGCCAGUCCUGGAACGUCUACUUCCUGUACUGCCGUGGGCAGAUUGCCUAGCAUCGCUUUCUUCUGACUCGAGGCCUUCCCUGAGAACCAUCUUGUUUUUCUCCAUAUCUGGUGUGGGUUCUGACCAGAUCUUCCGGUGUUUGUAAAUCUGUGAAUGAUUCUGUCAGAGCAUGUAUACUGAGAAAUCCCACCGGGCGUGCCAAAUUGUUCAUCCGUUUUCGUGUUUUACUCCUGAGGUGGAAGGGCGAAGUUCCCCACUGGCUUGGAGACCACUUGUUGGUCGACAAGUCAGCUUUCUUUGGUGUGCGAGCGUGCCACUGCUAGCAAUGUAAAUUCUAGCAGACUUAUUUUUAGAUUGGAUAACUUGCGCCUCAAGUUACUGACUUCUAAAACAAAGGAUUGUGAAUUUGGGUGAGGAAUAUCUCCCAAGUAAGUUCUUUUCUUGCCUCAGACUGGUGAGGACUUUCAUAAUCUAUCUCAGUAUCAAAUGGCUGUUCUGGCCAGAAUAGAUAAUAAUAAAAUACUGUUUCAGGCAGAACUGCCUUUUACAAAAUUAAGAAGGGAGAAAUCAACCCUAGAAAGACAAGAAGAUGGCUGGAAUCCCAUUUCUGCCUAGGUAGAAACUUCUGAUCCGGGCUGGAUUGGGUAUGUCUGUGUUGGACUGUGCUGUCAACAACUUUGGCUGCUUGGCUUCAGCUGUAAAUCGAUACCAAAGUUCAAUUUUGGCAGAGCUUCAAUCUACUUCAAGCCUUGGGAGACUUUUGAGCGGGCAGAACUGCAGGAAUUCUUCAGUUUGAAGGGACAGAAGUAGCUAUUCUCGAGGAUUUAGCAAGCUGGAACUAUGCUGUAAAAUUUGUUGAGGUUUUCAUAUUGGUAAAAACUCAAACUAUGUUUGUCUUGGCUUUUGCUGAACCAAAUUUGUAACGAGAAGGAUCUCGUUUUCAGAAGACUUAUUUUCUAAGUCUGAACUUUGGGAUUCUGAUCUAAAGCUGUUUUUUUCUCUUGGGAUCCAAGUGAACUUUUUCUUAUUUGUUUUUUUUGAUUGAUUGAUGAAUUGAGUGUCCUGUUUCUUUGCCUUCUUUCGCUUUUAUAAGAGAUCCUCCUAAGGAGGUCAUUUUUAAUCUUUUAAACAAUGGGCGGCAAAAAGAUCUCUUAUAAUGUAAAGUAAGAAGGGUUUUUUAGAUAGGUUCUGAGCAGUCACCUCCUAAAAACAGUCCCUUCCCUGGUUUUCUGGGUGGCAGCUUUCUAAUUCAACCAAUGCCACCGUCUGUGUGGGCUUUUUAUGGCGGUUUUGGCUCUUUUUCUUUUGUAUUUUCUGAGUGGUUCCCUGUUUCCCGUUCUAAUUUAGAAAGCGUGAUCCGUGAAUUUCUUGGGAGAUGGUGCAUUGAUUUGGAGCAAAAUCUUGAACACAGAUGGGUUUUUGAUCUUCAAUUGGCAGUGUUUCAGAGACGUCCCUCUCACAUUUUUAAAUUUUAGUUGAUAUUGCUGACUUUUCCAAAGCUGAGGCAAUCACGUGGGUGUGUCUUCGAAAGUUUCCACAUCUGGGCUUUCUUUGGGCUGAGGCUUUAUUUCCAACGUUUUUGGUGUGAAGCCCAAACUGUUUGGAUUUUAUUUUUUCUCAAAUCUCUGGGCUGGGCAGGCAAUUUUAUGAUGGGCCUGCCUUCUGAUCUUGGGCGUGCCGAAUUUGGGCCCAAACAAUGCCCCCUAAGUCUGAAUCGUUUUGGAACGGUUUCAGACUUAAUGUUUUGCCAUUUAAUUCGCGCGCCAGUUUCUUCCGUGUUUUCGCCCACGUCUGCCACGUUUGCCUGCUACGAACUAGAGUUCGUGGGAAAACGGCUAGUUAUUAGCUAGUUACUAGCUAAUAAUCAUCAGGUGUCGUCCCAUCUUCUUCUUCCCACGUUUCCGAGCCCCUCUUUUAAAAGAAAUUCAAACUCAUGGCUUCUGAAAAAGAAAAACCCUAAACCUUCCAACUCUUGUUCCUGCGAGCUUUUUCUUCGAGAUCUCCAUAGCUUUCUUCAGACCUCCCCUUCUUCUGCUUCUUCCCUCGAAUCAGAAAUGUCUUCCCCAAGGUCCCGCGCUCAGUCUUCUUCCGCUCCAGUUCCUCCCGAUUAUAUUACUGGGAGCGGGAUUGAUGCUCACGCGAUAGAAAUCAGGAGCAAGCUUCAUCCCUUUGCCCAGAAGAAUCUGGACGAGAAUGUCCUCCAUUUGUUCGAGAAUACCCUGGUGUUAGGGCCUCACUGGUUUGGUCCUGUUCCAGCUGAGAUGGCAGAAUUGCUAAAAAAGGAUGCCGAGGCUCCUUUGUGUUUUGAGAGCUCUUCUGCCCUGGCUUAUUAUUCUUGGGUUAGCAAGAAUUUGAGCCGGUCCUUCCCGUCCAGUGAGGUGAGGAACAGUCCGGUCAAAUGGGCAGGCUGGAUUGAUAGACUUCUCCCGAGAUAUGGGGGUCACUGGAGGAGAGCUGGGAUUUAUGACGCCAUUCUUCUGUCCAAACAAUCGAUUAACAGAGAUGAGAAUCUGCUUGCUGCUGCCCUAUGCUUCUGGAAUUCUGCCAGCAAUACAUUUGACUUCUGCGUGGGUCCCAUGGCGCCAACCUUGCUGGACAUGGCUCAGAUUUUCGGGUUCAGGCCCCAUGGUAGGCCUGUUGAUGCCGUUGGAGAUUAUCACAGGCGGAGGAAUCAAGAGAAAGUGGCCACCCUUUUUAUUAUCCCUCCAGCCGUGAUCAACCAGAACUGCUCUUUCUCCAACUAUCUGAAGAAAUUCAGUGCUGAGAAGGACAAGGACCAGCAACAUAUGUUGUUCCUUCUGUAUUGGCUGAAUUGGUUCGUUCUCCCCAAUCGGUCUUCUGCAGUUCUGCUAGAGUACAGACACUUGACAGAAGCACUCCACAAUCACACUGAUGUGGGGCUCGGGCCUACAGUUCUGGCUCACCUUUUCAGGAAUCUGCACACUGCCACCCUGGAGAACCCAUUGAACCUGUCAGCCCCGGGCGCAUUCUGGAUGAUCCAGAUCUGGCUGCAGGUUUAUUUUCCAGAAAUAAGGUUCCCAGACAUAGUUCUGCCUGAAGAUCAAGUCCUGGCUCUUCCUCUGAUAUCGGCAGAAGUGCCCAAGCGUUCUAUUGAGGAGUAUUUGAUGCUCUUCAGGCAUUGUAUAAAGAGGUCGGCAGCUCAGUGGCAAGUGGUGAUCAGGAGGACCUAUCCUUGGUUCUAGACCGGAUUUCGGUUGUUUGAGAAGGAGCCAGAAGAUGAAGCUGCCAGAACAGAUUUCAGGAGGAAAUUUCUGAGCAUUACUCUGCCCAGAGAUCUACCCCAUGGUGGGGGCAAACCUCCAAACUAUCAUCUGGGGGCAGAAGUCUACCAUCCCAACUUCUACGCAAGGCAGCUUGGUUGUCCCCAACUCAUUCCGCUGAAAUCAUAUCGGAGUUGUAACCGGGCCUCUUCUUGGAGGGAUGCAGAUGACCUGGAGGUGCACAAGGAUGCCCGGUGUGCAGUGAACAAAAUCAACAACAGCACGGAUGCCCUCUAUCCCUCGUGGGAGCUGAAUUCCUGCAGUUCUGCCGAUUUUAACGCAUGGUGGAAAGCCAGAUUCCAAAGUCUGCCUGCUUCUGUCACUGCCCUCAAGGUGCUAUUCGAUGGUUGGGAAAACUGGGUCGUUUUUGCGGAUGGGGAUGCCAAGACGCAUAUGAUCCAGACUAUCAAGGAUAUCAACGCGCAAAUUAUAGAAGGUAGAUUUCUGAUUCUGUCUGGGAUUCGUUCUGUCCUGAUGAUUGAUUUCUAAUGUCUAUUCUGCCUGUAUCAGAUCCUUCUUUGACUAGCGUAGGUGGGCAGUCUGUUCAUGCUGGAGAAGUGAUUGGUAAGUCUUUUCUUUUAACUCUAUUCUGUCUUUUCCUGCUGGAUUGGUUUCUAACGUCUAAUGCCUUGGUGCAGUCUCUUCUGUUAUUGCUGCCGGGGACUUGGAGCUCCCCUCUGCAGAUGAAGGCGAUGAGGUCCAGACAGAACAAACACCUACCGAGGCCGCUCUUUCUGGCAGGAGAAAAAGGAAAGGACCUGCCCCUCCUUUGGAUAAUACCACGCGGCCCGGCAUUUCAGGUAGGCUCGUGAUGUUCCAAUCAUUCCCUUUAAAUUUAUUCUGUCUUGCCUCCUUUUCCCUAGUGCUGCUUUUCGUUCUGCGCAGCUGGAAGUCCUUCCCCUCCUCCUACCAAGUUGAAAAAACUUAAAAAGAGGAGUGAGGAGGAGUAUGUCGUCGUGGAAGAAACGGCAGCAGUUCCCACCACUACCUCCGGGACGGAUGAAGAGCUGCGAGAGGCUUUUGAGGAGGUGGAGCAGGAAAAAGAAUUGGAAGAGCUGGAAGAAACGCCUCAGGAAAAAACGACAGUGGUGGAAGGAGAGGUAAGUUUUAUUUCUGUGAUUCGCAUCAGUUCCCUUCUUGCCCUGUUUCUUCCGUUCUGACCCCUGUUUUGUAGGAGGAGAUCCCUGCUGAGGUGAUUGCAGAGAGCAUUGCCUCGGCGCACAAGCAACAAGGGGGUCCAAGGGCUGAGCUGACUAGCUCAGAACUAGCCCUAUUUGAGGAUGCCGAGGCAGAGCAUUCUACUGCCGCUCCAGUGGCUGAGGAUCAGGCGGAACGGUCUGCAUCAGAGCCUGUGGAUCAGGCAGAACUGUCUGUUGUGGUUCCGGAGGCUGAAGUGGAAACAACCGCCGCUGCCCCUGUGGUUGUGGUAACUUUUUUUCUUAUCUGUCCACACUCUCCUGCAUUUCUGCCUUAUUCUUUAUUUUUAACUGUUGUAGCCUUUUCAGGUAGAAGUGCCUAAAGCUGUUGGCGUCCUGGCAGCGGUUACCAGUCCCCAGAAGCCUCCUAUUGUUGCUGUAAGUUUUCAUAACUUUGGGCCUUUAUUUUCCACUUUCUGCCUGGUCUUACCUUAUGCUUUCUUCUUGCAGAUGCCCAUUCAUUCCCUUCCAGGAUCAUCUGCCACGGCCUCUUUUGCUGAUCCAGAACUCGAAGAGUUUGAAGCCAUGGAUCUGGAUGCCUAAUUGGACAGACUGGAGAAACUCAGCUCUCCUCCAGGCAAGGCAAAAUCUAGGGCAGUGGAGGAGGCCAUGGAGAGGUUGAAAAUCUGGCAGUCUAAUGAGCUGGAGUUUGAUCAAGACAAUGAAGCCUUAAAUCAGCUGAUGAAGGACCUGGACCUGCUUCACAGACAGAACAUGGCUCCAAAACCUAUCCUUGAGAUGGGCCUAAGCUUGGCCAGAGAUGUGCUCAAUCUGCAUGAUCGCUAUGAGGAUCUCAGACCUACUUUCAAGACUUCUGAAUUCUGCAAGGCCACUCAUGAAGCCAACCUGGCUGAUUUUGGAAAGCAGAAAGCAGAACUGGAUCAGAUGGUGGCCGGAUACAAGGAAGCCAGGGCCACUGCGGACAAGCUGGAGAAGCAGAUUGAAGAGCUCCAAAACCAACUGGCAGAAUGCAGGGAGGUGCAGAGCAGGCUUGGGGCUGGACUGAGUUCUAAAACUAAGGCCACUUUCCUUGUGCAAAGUAUGGUUGCAGCUUCCAGGCCAACCUUGGAGAUUGCAAAGGCUUCAAUUCACCAGGGGGUGCUGCUCCAGAAAGAGCUUUCUGUCAAGAAAGCGAACCUGCAGGAGACUCUUAGAAAACUAGGAUUUUAGCUUCUUCUUUCCUUUUAUUAUUCGAAUAAUUUGCCGCAAAGGUGGCUAUUUUUAUAUAAGCUUUCAAAGCAUUUUACUGCUUUUUAUUUAUUCUUGAUGCAAUAACCGGACACGGCUUUGAAAGUAAAAACAAAAACAACUUUAAAGCAAAAACAGAUCUAAGCAAGAUUCUUUUCAAGAAAAGUCAAGCUUGUUCCUCUUCUAUCCCGGGAUCUGUUUGUACAGCCUGUGAAUCCCACAUGGUUGGAUAGAACUUCUUUAACCAUUUACCAUUGAUUGGGGCAAAAUGAACAACUCCAUCUCGGUCCUGCAACCUGUAUGCCCCCAUUCCGAGGAUUUGGUUAAUUAUAAAAGGGCCUUCCCACGUAGGUGACCAUUUCCCAUAUCCAGCUAUGUGUGCUCCAAGGGGCAGAAUUGCCUUCCAGACUAUCUCUCCCUCUUCAAAACUUUUGUUUCUGACUCUUCUGUUGUAGGCCCUUAAUACAGCCUGUUUUCCUGCUAAGAGUUUGUUGAGGGUGUCAAUUUUGCUUGCAUCCAAUUCUUCCAAUUCCAGCAACAUGGCUUGAGAGUAAUCCUCCCCAAUGAGACCGUGCUGGUGAGCAAUUCUAAGAGACUGGACUGCUAUCUCCAUGGGAAGAAUUGCAUCAUGGCCGUAGGUUAGAGCAUAGGGGGUCAUCCCAGUUGCUUCUCUUUUUGAAGUUAUGUAUGCCCACAAAGUUUCUGACAACUUCUCAUGCCACUGCUUUGGAUUCUUCUCUAGCAUUUUUCUGAUGAUAUUGAUAAUCACCUUGUUACUUGACUCUGCCUGUCCAUUAGCUUGAGCAUAGUAAGGAGUAGAUUGAAGCAGUUUGAACUUGAAUGUUUCUGCCAUAUCUAGCAUGUCCCUAGAUAUGAAAGAAGAACCCCUAUCAGUUGUGAUUGAUUCUGGAAUGCCAAACCUUUGUAUGAUCUGUUCUUCUAUGAAGGUGAUGAUCUCUUGAGAUGUUGUGGUUUUUACUGGCUUGGCCUCCACCCAUUUGGUGAAGUAGUCUAUAGCAACAAUAAUGAAAUAAUGCUGCUGGUUGCUGGCUGGAUAGAUCUUGCCAAUGAGAUCCAUUGCCCAUCCCCUAAAAGGCCAUGGUUUUACUACUGGGUUCAUGGGAACCGAAGGGGCCUGCUGGAUUGGGCCGUGCCUUUGACAGGCCUCACAUCCUUUGGAAUAGUUGAUGCAAUCCUUCAUCAUGGUUGGCCAGAAGUAGCCAUACCUUCUGAUUAACCAGCACAUCUUCCUUCCCCCUUGGUGAGCUCCACAGAUCCCCUCAUGGGUUUCUCCCAUGACUUUCAUGUAUUCUGUGUUCCCGAGGCACCUUAAUAGUACCUCAUCCUUACUUUUUCGGACCAAAUCUUCAUUCCAUAUGAGGUAGUUUGUAGCCAUGAUUCUGACUCUUUUCUUAGAGGGCAGAGUGGGAUAUCGUAAGUAAGUCAUGAUAGGCUCCCUCCAAUCAUCUUCAGUGAUCAAGGCAGAGUUGACUUCUAUCUCCAUUCCUCUAGUAAAAACAGAUGGUAGACUUUUCCUUCCUAUCUUGAUGAUCCUUUGGACGCAGUCUUCGGGCAUUUGUAUGCCUGAUGCCACCUGAGCCAGUUCAUUGGCUGCAAAGUUUUCCUCCCUUGGGAUGUGCUCCCAAGUAGCUUCUCUAAAUUCUGUUAGCAGAUUUCUAGCUGCUACUAGAUAUACAGCCAGAGAAGGAUUCAGACACUUAUAUUCUCCAGCAAUCUGUUUUAGGACAAGCAUGGAAUCUCCCAAGAUCUCCACGGACUGGACUCCUAAUUCUACUAACAUCUCGAGCCCUAUAAUCAAAGCCUCAUACUCGGCCCUGUUGUUGGUGCAUUGGAAAUCUAGCUGGAAGGAGUAGCAAUGUCUGACCCCUAAUGGUUCCUCCAGAACAAUCCCUGCUCCUGAAGCCUUAUCUGUCUUUGAUCCAUCAAAAUAUAAUUUCCACGGUGUGAGAUGAAUCGAGUCGAUUGGAUUGUUAAGGCAAACAUGAGCUCUAGUUAGUAGAUCUGCAUUUGCUAUGUCCAAGGAAUCCAUGUUUUCAAUUUCCUCUCCCGGGUGAUCUGCCAAGAAGUCUGCCACAGCUUGUCCUUUGACAGCUUUCUGGGGGACAUACCUGAAGGUGAAUUCUGUCAAAGCCAAAGUCCAUUUCCCAAUUCUGCCUCUCAGCAUUGGUCUCGUUAGCAUGUAUUUGAUUAAGUCUGUUUUGGCAAUGAUGUAGAUAGUAUGUGGCAGCAUGUAGUGCCUGAGCUUUACAGCAGUAAAAUACAAGGCCAGGCAGAGCCUUUCUAUUGCGGAAUACCUUCUCUUUACUUCUGUUAAUGUUCUGCUUAGAUAAUAGACUGCUUGUUCCUUUCCCUCUUUGUUGUCUUGAACUAAAAGACUUCCAAUGGAUACUUCUGAUGCAGAUACAUAAAGCUUUAGUGGUCUGCCUCUUUUUGGCGGGGACAGAACUGGUGGGUUUGAGAGGUAAUGCUUUAUUUCCUGGAAAGCCUGUUGGUGCUGUUCUUCCCACUUGAAUGUCUGUUCCUGCUUCAGCCUUAACAGGGGAGAAAAAGGUUGGAUUUUUUCUACAGAAUUGGAUAUGAAUCUCCUUAGAAAAUUGAUUUUCCCUAAGAGACUUUGAAGUUCCUUCUUGUUCCGAGGUGGUAGAGCUUCUAUGAUGGAUUUUGCUUUAUUUCUGUCAACCUCUAUACCUCUCUGGUGGACCAAGAAUCCUAAGAAAUUUCCUGCUUAGACUCCAAAAACACAUUUUUUGGGGUUCAUUUUUAGUUUGUGUUGCCUCAUUCUUAGGAAUACCUUUUUUAGGCUUGCUACGUGGUUUCCUUCCUCAGGGGAUUUAAUCACCACGUCAUCUAUGUAUACUUCCAAGGAAUGUCCUAUCAUAUCAUGAAAAAUAGAAUUCAUUGCCCUUUGGUAGGUGGCCCCUGCAUUCCUCAAACCGAAGGGCAUUACAGUAUAUUCGAAAGCACCUAUAUGUCCUGGACACAUAAAGGCUGUCUUGUGGAUGUCCUGUUCUGCCAUCAUAAUUUGGUUAUAACCUGUAUUGCCGUCCAUGAAGGAUAGCAUCUGGUUAUGAGCAGCUCCAUCUACUAGCAUGUCUGCCAUUGGCAUAGGAUAUUCGUCUUUAGGAGAUGCCUCAUUCAGAUUUCUGUAAUCCACGCAGAUUCUAACUGCCCCUGUUUUUCUUUUGAGAACAGGUACAAUAUUUGCUAACCAAUCGGCAUAGACGGCUGGCCUGAUGAAUCCUACCUUGAGCAGCCUUUCUAUCUCUUCUUUGACCUUUAAUUCUGUGUCCAUAGACAUUCUUCUUCUGCCCUGUUUGACUGAAAGGUAGCCAUCUUUAAUUGGCAGCUUGUGCUCUACUAACUGCCUGUCCAACCCUGGCAUUUCGUGGUAAUGCCAGGCAAAACAAUCUCUGAAUUCCUGCAAAAGUGCCAUGAGUUCAGUCUUGAGUGGCUCCUUCAAAAGUGUGCUGAUAAAAGUAGGCCUUGGAUCCUCUUCUGUCCCUAAGUUUAUUUCCUGUAGAGGAUCCUCUACUUCUGGCAGGGAGUCAUCCAGUGCUGCUGGUGCAAAAUCUAAUAUUUCCUCCUGUAAAAUUUCCUCCUCUUGUUCUUUUGUGCUUUCAUGGGUGAAUUCUGCCAUAUUGAUGGCUGGAUUCUGUAUGAAAAGCCUCCUUUCUCCCCAGUAUAUCAACAAUCUUUUUGUGAUGGAUCGGAUUGUUGCAGCUCGAUCCUUGUCCAGUUGAUUGGGACUAAACAUCAGAGUUCUGGAAGUUCAGAAUAAAAAGGUCUAUUCCAGUCCUCUAGAGAACUGGCUAAACCUUCUUCAAUGAGUCUUUGGGCCGUGACACCAUGUGGGCGGCCGUUCUGAUUGACUCCGAGGAAAGUGAAGGGACCGAGGUCAUCAUGAUAAUACCUUGCUUCAAAGCACAUGGCAGAGGGCAGGAAUGGCCGUGGAUCGGCCUCUAUAAUCUCCAUGCAGCCUUCUUCAUUCCAUAGUGCUAACUGCUGGUGGAGGGUGGAAGGAAUACAAAGGCUCUGGUGAAUCCAAUCCCUGCCAAGUAGUGCAUUGUAGGUGGUGGAAGUAGUGUCUAUAACAAAGAAUGCUAUUUUCAACUCUUUGCUUCCGACUAUGACAUCCACAUCUAAGAUGCCAUGUAUUUUGGUGAUGCCCCCAGCGAAGUUGGUGACGGUCAAUCGUGUUGGAAUCAGAUCUUUCUCUGUCCUGCCCAACUUGGUCAGCAUUCUGUGGGGUAAUAGAUUAAUGGCUGCACCUCCAUCUACCAUGAUCUUGGAAAUAGGAAUACCCCCAAGAUUUGCCGUUAUAAACAAAGGUCUGAGGUGAUUUGCCAUUUCUCUGGUUGGCUUGGCGAAACAAGGUUGCUCUGUAGCUGGUUUAUUGGCUGUUCUGCUUGCCUUGGGGUUUUCUGGUUGUGGUUCUGGUGGCUCCUCUGCUUCUGCCAAUCUACAUUCAAAGCUUUCCUGAGAGAAAACAUCUCCUUCCAGAGUGCUUUCUUGUCCUUCGGCAGCCCUGAAUUUCCCUGGUACGAUGAAUACCAUGUUAAUUCCCAGAUCACCCUGUAGGAGGUCUUCUAAUUCUGCCCCAAAAGCUUCUGUUUCUGGAUCCAAUUCUUCACCAAAUUCCAUUAAUUCUUCCCCGUAUUCUUCCGCCCAGUCAUCCUGUUCUGCUACUUCGAGGGGUUCUUUCUGAUCAUCUGCAGAAGGUUCAUAGUCCAAUUGCUCUUCUUCAUAUUCCUCAGUGUAGUCGUCUUCUCCUUGUAAUGGGGUAGACCCGGAUUUCUUUGGUGUCUGCGUGGUGUCAGGACGACUGCUGGACGACGAGGCUACAUGGAUAGGAGACCUGGCUGGUGGUUCUGUUUUCAGCAAUUCCCUUGACUGGCAGGCUUUCUGUUCUGUCUGAGGAAGUGUUUCAGGAUUCUUUCCUUUCCUGGCAGAACUGGGUUGUGAACGUACCUGCGUAUUAUCUUGGCUCCUAAGAUAUGUGCAGUAUUGCCUCUGGAUUCCCCUUUUCUGAGUUCUGGUCAGCUCCAGAGUCGGUCUACCGCUUCUUCCUACGGAAUACCAUCUCCCUUCUAUGAUCGUUGCCAAGGGUUUUUCGUUUCCGGGUGUCUUGACUGGUAUUUCCUUUCUGGGUUGCUCCGUCCUCCUCUCGCUAUAUUGUGUAGGCCUAAGACAGCUCUUCUGCCUUGUUUUGUCUCGGGAUGAGGUUCCAAUCCUGUCAAAGACACUAGGUGUGGGCUGAUUUUGUCUGUCUAGAACCACCUCUAGCUCUGUUUCACAUUUGCACCUACUGCAGAGCACUACCCCAGCCGAGAUGGUCGCUCUUGGUAUUUGACUGGUCUCCCUUAUGACUCUUCUGCCUCUGCUGCAACCAGCAUCUGUGAUUGGCUCGGUUUUCCUUUGUUCUGGCCAAUUUAAGUCGACCAUAUUGACUUGAGGUUGAGGAAAAGGAUCCGUUGUGACCGAUGGUGGUUUUUCUGCCAGUUUCAACCUUCCUGCCGCUAUCCCUUCUUGUAUCACGUUCCUGAAAACCACACAACUAUUGGUAGAAUGGUUCCAAGAGUUGUGCCACCUGCAGUACUGUCUGCCCUUGAGUUCUUCUGGCUUCGGUAUUUUGUGAGGCGUUUCUAUUGCCUUCUGCAGUAGCAUUUCGUCGAACAAGGCAUCAACCUUGGUUAAGUCAAAAGAGUAAACCUUGUUUUGUGUUGGCUUGUUUGGAACGAAUCCUCCUGUGAAUGGUGGUGGCUUUUGGUCUUUAGGUGGCUUUGUGAGGGCUUUGCAACUAAUGGGAUGUUUUAGUUUUGCCAUUUCCGCCACUGAAACCUCUUUCUCUUCUGAUUCUUCCGCAUCUUCUUGUGAUUCCACCUCGAUCAGGUGGACUGAAGAAGAAGGGGUUUUAUAGUAUGUACCUUUGGAGGAGUUCCUCCUUUGAUGUUCUUCCCUGAGUAACUCCUCAUAUUUGGAUGCCCUAUCAGCCAGUUCUGCCAGAUCUCCGAAUAAUAUCCCGUCGAACCUCUUCCUGAGAGAGAUUUUAAGGGCGGCUUGGGCCAUCUGGAUGAAGUGUCUUUCUUCCAUGGGGAUUCGGCACUUCAUCUUGAGCUUUCUGAACCUGGUUAUGAAAUUUUGGGCCGGUUCAUCUUCACUUUGCUUGAGGGCAGCUAGAUCACUGAUGGUGACUUCUGGCUGAAUCCUGUAAUAGUAGUCAUGGAAGACAUUUUCCAUCUGUUCCCAGGUUUGAACAGAGUUAGCUGGCAGGCUGGUGUACCAGGUAAAAGCUUGUCCAGAGAGAGAGUUGCCGAAAAGCCUUAGUUUCAGCAGAGGGUUGUUCUCGAUAGCUAUGCAUUGGACGGAGAACCUGCCUAUAUGUUCAACUGAAGAAGCAUGGGGGUCCUCCUCAUUGAACAGAGUGAAGUUUGGUACUUUGAAACCUGGAGACAACGGUAUUUGAUCGAUAUAAGCUGGGUAUGGCUUUCUGUAAGUAGGCCUUUCCCCCCUUCUAGCCUCGGGCUCCAUGAUUUCUCUGAUCAUUCUUUGCAAUGCUCCUAUGUCAUUCAGAGCAUUGACGGGGGGAAGAUUUUGUCCCUGCUCUGGCUGAACGUAAUCAAACCUGGGUUCUGCUCUGUGUGGUCUGGGUGGAACUUCCUCCCUGUGUUCUUCCUGCUCUUCGACUUCUGGAUGAUUCCUCCAGUUUGCCCCUGGUCUAUUUCUGUCAUGAUUAGCAAAAAGGUUCCCUCCUCGGCCUCUCCUCCCUCUUGCAAGUGGAGGGAAUGGAUUAGGGUCCAUCCUUCUGGGUCUAUAUGGCAAUACUGCCGGUGGUUCAGGCAGAAGCGCCAAAGGUUGAUCAUGUGGGGCCACAUGAGGUGGAACGGGCUGAGGUUCUGGCUGGUUCUGAGCCAGUGCCAGGUUAUCUGGUUGAGCUGGGGCUUCAUGUCCUUGAUUAGGAAGGGCUCCUUCCCUCGGGCCAGCCUGGAUUUCUCUGUAGUCUGGCACUCCAGCCAUCUGUGCAACUAGGGGAUUUUCCUGGUAUGGCCACGUUAAUCCCGGCGGAGGGCCAUACGAGAGAUCUAACUGCUGGAGUAUAGGAUCCGGGUUUGAAAUUCUGGCCAUGGCGGAUUCUCGGUCCUUCCGGAACUGUCUGUUAACCUGCCAUUGCAUCCUGGCUGUCAUGUUAUUGAGAGUGUCCUGGCUCCUUUGCACUGUGAUUUCUUGUCGGAGUACUGACUCCUGUAUUUGAUUCAUCCUUUUGGAGCCAGUCCUGGAACGUCUACUUCCUGUACUGCCGUGGGCAGAUUGCCUAGCAUCGCUUUCUUCUGACUCGAGGCCUUCCCUGAGAACCAUCUUGUUUUUCUCCAUAUCUGGUGUGGGUUCUGACCAGAUCUUCCGGUGUUUGUAAAUCUGUGAAUGAUUCUGUCAGAGCAUGUAUACUGAGAAAUCCCACCGGGCGUGCCAAAUUGUUCACCCGUUUUCGUGUUUUACUCCUGAGGUGGAAGGGCGAAGUUCCCCACUGGCUUGGAGACCACUUGUUGGUCGACAAGUCAGCUUUCUUUGGUGUGCGAGCGUGCCACUGCUAGCAAUGUAAAUUCUAGCAGACUUAUUUUUAGAUUGGAUAACUUGCGCCUCAAGUUACUGACUUCUAAAACAAAGGAUUGUGAAUUUGGGUGAGGAAUAUCUCCCAAGUAAGUUCUUUUCUUGCCUCAGACUGGUGAGGACUUUCAUAAUCUAUCUCAGUAUCAAAUGGCUGUUCUGGCCAGAAUAGAUAAUAAUAAAAUACUGUUUCAGGCAGAACUGCCUUUUACAAAAUUAAGAAGGGAGAAAUCAACCCUAGAAAGACAAGAAGAUGGCUGGAAUCCCAUUUCUGCCUAGGUAGAAACUUCUGAUCCGGGCUGGAUUGGGUAUGUCUGUGUUGGACUGUGCUGUCAACAACUUUGGCUGCUUGGCUUCAGCUGUAAAUCGAUACCAAAGUUCAAUUUUGGCAGAGCUUCAAUCUACUUCAAGCCUUGGGAGACUUUUGAGCGGGCAGAACUGCAGGAAUUCUUCAGUUUGAAGGGACAGAAGUGGCUAUUCUCGAGGAUUUAGCAAGCUGGAACUAUGCUGUAAAAUUUGUUGAGGUUUUCAUAUUGGUAAAAACUCAAACUAUGUUUGUCUUGGCUUUUGCUGAACCAAAUUUGUAACGAGAAGGAUCUCGUUUUCAGAAGACUUAUUUUCUAAGUCUGAACUUUGGGAUUCUGAUCUAAAGCUGUUUUUUUCUCUUGGGAUCCAAGUGAACUUUUUCUUAUUUGUUUUUUUUGAUUGAUUGAUGAAUUGAGUGUCCUGUUUCUUUGCCUUCUUUCGCUUUUAUAAGAGAUCCUCCUAAGGAGGUCAUUUUUAAUCUUUUAAACAAUGGGCGGCAAAAAGAUCUCUUAUAAUGUAAAGUAAGAAGGGUUUUUUAGAUAGGUUCUGAGCAGUCACCUCCUAAAAACAGUCCCUUCCCUGGUUUUCUGGGUGGCAGCUUUCUAAUUCAACCAACGCCACCGUCUGUGUGGGCUUUUUAUGGCGGUUUUGGCUCUUUUUCUUUUGUAUUUUCUGAGUGGUUCCCUGUUUCCCGUUCUAAUUUAGAAAGCGUGAUCCGUGAAUUUCUUGGGAGAUGGUGUAUUGAUUUGGAGCAAAAUCUUGAACACAGAUGGGUUUUUGAUCUUCAAUUGGCAGUGUUUCAGAGACGUCCCUCUCACAUUUUUAAAUUUUAGUUGAUAUUGCUGACUUUUCCAAAGCUGAGGCAAUCACGUGGGUGUGUCUUCGAAAGUUUCCACAUCUGGGCUUUCUUUGGGCUGAGGCUUUAUUUCCAACGUUUUUGGUGUGAAGCCCAAACUGUUUGGAUUUUAUUUUUUCUCAAAUCUCUGGGCUGGGCAGGCAAUUUUAUAAUGGGUCUGCCUUCUGGUCUUGGGCGUGCCGAAUUUGGGCCCAAACACCAUUGUAGCACCAGCUUGUGUGAGGGAAUCAAAGAGCGAUUUGGCAUAAUUGAGAUAAUCAGUCACUGUUGUGUUGUUGUCCUUUCUGAGAGUGCGAAUUUGGUCUCGGAGAAUCCGUACACGGGUACUAGCAAGAGGUGAGAGGCGCUUGGCCAGCAUGGUCCAGGCUUGAUGAGCAGUGGUACAAGGGAUGAGAAGUGUCUUGAUGGAAGAGGAGGAAGUCGCUUUGAUCCAACUCAGGACCAGUUUAUCCUUGGCUAACUCUGGGUGCACAGAUCCAUCUUCUUGCACUUUGGGUGGGUCUGUGUUGUUCUUGACGACUGCUGCAAGACCGUGCAUCUCCAAUACAUCUUCAAAUUGGGAUUUCCAACUCAAGUAGUUGGUGCGAUCCAUAGGAACUGAGAACAAUGAUGAGAUAUUGAAAGAGGUGGGCAAAGAAUGGGAUGAGAAUGGAGGUGAGGAAAGUUUUGACAUUUCAGAAAUCAGUUUUGACAUAUUGAUAUUGCUUGAUUCUCCAGAUUUAGGUGUGUCGGCCAUUGGUUUGGGUAGGAUCGAUAUUUUGAGGGUUAGCUCCGAAGAGCUCUGAUACCAUAUAAGAAAAUGAACUGAAAAGGAAGAGAGAGAGGGAUGAGAACAGAGAGAUUAAGAAUAAUUGCCACAAUCCAGUGAUAGUUCUCUGUAUUAUCUGCAGUAUAAAUAUUGGUACAUGGGGUAGACUUUCUCAAGUCUAUUUACAGAAACUUAACGUUAUAAGGUAAGUCCAAUCAAUUACAUAUAUUACAGAGGAAUUGACAAUCAAUCAUUCUGGCUGAUGAAUGUCGCGCUUGUGGUUAGGAGGCUUCUAAGACUAAUGUAAUGGGAUCAGCUGAUUUCAUAGGGCUGACAGAUUAGAUAGGAUCUGCUGGUGUAGUAUUCUCUUUAUUCUGAACCCUAGAUAAUUAUAAAACAUGAAUGAAAUUAAUUCUUAAUGAAAAUAUGACGGCAAAAAAAAAAACUUAAAAAAUUAAUAUAACUUUAUAUAAUAUCUUGGAUAUCGUCUCAUGAGUUGACUAUAUAAUGUGAUUUGCUCUUUCCUAUGUAGCUUCCAUUCCACCCUAUCCAAAAGUAACGAGAACAAAGAACAUUUUGUAUUUUUCUUCUCCAUAUGCGUAUAGGAUUUGACGCGGUGUAGCCACCCCGCGUUAAGACGCACUAGAAUUAUUAACCUUCUAGGAAACGAAACCAAUUCUCAUAUGCUUUUCUUCAUGUAUAAAAUGGGGCUUCAUUCAUCAAACUAAACCAAACCCAAACUACAAUUACUUAUCUUAUUUUUCAACUAAGAUGGGAUCGUCGACUAAUUCACCAGCAGCAGCAGCAGCAGCAUACCCUCAUCCCCAACCUUAUUCGACAGCACCGGCACUGGGACCUUCUUACGUGCAGGCUCCGCCACCUGCUGGUUAUCCCACAAGAGAUGCUCCAAAUCCUGCUUCUGCUCAUUAUGGACCUGUAGAAACCAAGUCCAAGGGUGAUGGCUUCUGGAAAGGAUGCUGUGCUGCCUUGUGUUGUUGUUGUCUCUUGGAUGCCUGUUUUUGAACAUCAUAUUCUCAAGGGGAUUCUUCUUGAAUUCAGUCCAAUAAUCAUAUAUUUCUUUAUUCGUUUGUGAAUUAUUCUUAUAGUAAAAUUCCUUAAUUUGUUCAAAUAAAAAGAGACACUUCAAGUUAUUUUUAUGAAGUGUUAAGUAUAGUUUGACAUGUAGCACCGCGCAUUCCUGUAUUCAGUUGAUGAAUGGUUCAAAUUGGCAUAAGCUAGCUGUAUGGCGAGUACAUAUACAUUGUCAUGAGUUGAUUAUGUGGGAGCAUACAAUCAUCCGAUACCACAAUUGAUAAACAAACACAAAUACAACAUCAGAGUGUUGAGAAUUAAUUUUGAAAAUUCCAUAACUAGUUUUAAAAUUUCUAGAAAAUCCAUCUGCUAUAUGUUAAUGUUUGUUUAAGAGUUAGAUAGCAGCUGGUUGUUAGCAUUUAAUUAUUGUUCUAACUUCUAUGAAGUUAUAUGUAUUGCUUAAAUAUGAGCUUUUGUAUAUGACUUGAAGUACGUAAAAACUAAACAGAAUUGUAGCCAAAAGUAGCAUUGUAAUCAGCGUCCAAUUAAGAGGGCCCUAGAAAUUUAUAUAUUAUAUAUAUAUAUUACACCAACGUCCA